GGGCUUGCAACUUCACCGUUGGCUUCAAGUCACGUACUCCUCUUGCUCCUUCUCCUUCACCUUUGCCUUCUUCCGAUCACUCAUCGUCUUCAGAUGCUAAGGCUCCUUCCUCAUCAUCUGCUUCUCCAAAACCUUUGGCCUUUGCUUCUUCUAUGGGAGUCGUUUUUCUUCUUUCACUAUUUUUCAUGUAGAUGAAUCAUGCUUAGACGUUAUUUAAUAAUUUGUGAUUCCUCCUUCUGUUCCCCAUUAGGUUUCUUGUUUUGUGGAGAGUCGACAAUUGAAUGUAAUGUUUUACUUGAAAAUAAAACGUAAGGAAGAUAUUAGUUGAACUCCGUUGGCUUCUAUGCGUGUCAAUCAUUUUCUGAUCGCAUGUACUAUUUAAUAUAUCAAAUUUAAACAGAGUACGUGUUAAUCCCUCCGUUUCAAUUUAUAUGAACCCGUUUGACUGAGCACGGAGUUUAAGAAAAAAUGAAGAUUUUUGGAAUUUGUGGUCCUAAACAAGUAAAAAAUGGGCCUAGAGUAUUUGUGUGGUUAUAAAAGUUUCUUGUUAAGGGUACAAUUGUAAGUUUAAGCUAAAUUAUUAUCAAAUUUAGAAAGGGAUCAUUCUUUUUGAAACGGACCAAAAAAAAAUAUGUUCACGUUAACUAAAACAGACGUACGACACUUGAUCUUUUAAUUUGUAAACCUCCAUUUCAAGUAGCCAAUCCUCUGCUGUUUUCUCCCAUUUGACUUGAUACGUUAUUUGGUAUGGACUACUGAGGGAAAGGAAGAGAAAACGAAACAAAAAUUUGAGAAGGUAAACAAAUUUGAUUUUCUUUAUAUCGUUUUCUUUCGAAGGAAAGGUGAGGAAGACCGUUAACAUCAGUACCUCUUUUUUAUCUUCUAUGUUCAUCAACUUAGCAUGCAAGCCCAAGAGAAAUAAUUUCAGCUUGUUUACUUUGUCUUCCUGUUACCCCAUCCAAACAAAUAUUAAUUAGGCAAGAAAUUUUUUACAACUUCCCUUCCCCUUCUCUAAUUUCCUCUUAUUUCCAAAGAACAUGUAGUUAUUCUGAAUCGUGCAUGUAUUCGUUUAAGUAAUAAGAUGCUGUUCGGAGGGAUAUGAAGCAAAACAACAUUCAUAUAUUUUAUCAACUAGUAAGUGCGGUACAUUAUUGAAAAUUGAAAAUUGAUUUUUUAUUUAAAACAUUUAUUAAUUAUGUUGUUUUCUACAUUGCUUUCAGGUUUUCCUUUAGUUAUGUUGUUUUCUCUGUUGCUUUCAGUUUUUGUUGUUCUGCAUGCGGCAUUAAUUUGUUUUCUUCCUUUCUUCAGACUUUUGUUAUUCUGCAUAUGUCUUUCUGCUCAGUUUUUUUAAUAAUUAUCCUUGUUGGUGGUGUUUGCUUGUUUCUAUGGAGAUUUUGGGCUUAUUUGGGAUUUAUGAAGUUGGUUCAACAGAUUUGGGACUUUGUUUGUUCUUGCAAACCGCGUGAAACAUAAAACAAUAUUUGAUGUAUAGUCCAAAUUGGAAAACCAAGAAUCAAAUAUCAUUUGCAACCCAUUUCCUUUUUCUUCACUCGCUGACUGCAAUUUCUGUUUUUUCUAGCUACCAGACGAUGAAGCUCAUUAAUAGUUCGUCUACUAGUCCUAUCAUAUUCAUUCAUGUUCAUAUCUAUUUAUAAGCACGAAAGCAUUUAGGGAAAUAUCGUUUGCUUUUUUUAUCCUUAAAAUAAUAAAAUUCACCUUGGAUAAAAUAGUCUUUUUGAUUAUUUUUCUAAUAUUUAGGAAUAGUCAUUUAAUUAAUUUUUUACUAUUUAGGAAUAUUUAUUUAAUUAAUUUUUUACUCUUUAAGAAUAGUCAUUUAAUUAUGUCCUUACUAUUUAUUUAUAAUAUUAAUAUUCCAAUGGCUUUCCGCUCUAAAAUUUUAAGCGCUUUCAGUUCUAAUAAAGUUUCCUUCACUUUCAACUCAUUUGGAGGUUCUUUGUAGUAGGAAAGUUGCGUUUACUUUCUCCAUAUAUAUGUAGGAGCUAAUUUGGUUUUUAAUUAGUUAUGUAUCUAUAUCUAUAUAUCAUUAUACUAUUAUAAAUUUUUCCUAUUUUUUAUGUUAAUUCCAACAGGAUAUAAAAGAUUUUUUCAAUAAUUAUUCUUCAUAAAAAAAUAUUUAUAUAACUGUAUGGAGUAAAAUAUGUUCAUAUUUAAUGAUUGCAUGAGAAAUCGACAUGUGGAACCGAAGACAGAAGAUUGCCAAACCUGAAUGCAAUGAUCUCGCUUGUCAUCGGAGAGAAUGAUACUGAUAAAGACAAAAUAAAUACCGCCAUCCGGUAGCGUUCAAUGACGCAUAUUCUACGGCAUUAAGUACAUGAUCCGUUACAGAGAAUAUGACAUUCACUGUCCACCGUUACACAUUCUUCAAUAGCCCUAAUAAUUGUAAUUAAAGAGGAGCUUGAUCAUAAGACCUUGUUCUCUAUGUGUAACUAUAAAUAGUGAGCUCUGUUAUCAUUGUAAGGGGACGGAUUUUCUGACAAGCACAUAUUAUACUUCAUCUAAAGCUCAAAUAACAUUUCACUUUCUUGUUUAUUUGCAUUGUUCUUAUUGCUCCCGCUAGCUCUGUGCCCGGAACCAAGAUAUAUGCCGUUUAUUUUAAUUUUACGGCUAAGUCUUAUAUUUCUGUCUAAUUCAUCUAUUAUUUUUGGAUCAAAUCAAUUCAUUUGUAUAUAAACUACGUAUAAAUUCAACUGUACAAUUUUAUGGUUAAACAGUUUGGCGCCCACCGUGGGGCAUAGACAGUCGUGCAAUUGAAUUGAUCCCUGCAUCUGUUCCUAACUUGUUUGAUUCUUUGUUCUUAGCAAAAAUCAUUAAAAAUGACAGAUUAUGGUGUUAACAACACACACAACAUUGAGGCCCAAGGAAAUCAGCCUCAACACGAGGAUUCAAUCAGUGAUACCCGCAACGAGGGGAACGAGGCCACGUCGGUCCACGACAGCCGAUACCCAUGACAUGUUUGGGAGGCAUCUCCUAAUGAUGCUGAAGAAGAGCACAUCGCGAAGCAGUCAGGGUCUUGCAAAAGAAACAUGAGGCCAUUAUAGGCCAUCUCACACGAUAGGAUAAGGUCAUCACGAUACUAAAGCAGGCGUUGUCGGGCCCUUCCAAUAAUGCGAAUGCGCGAGGCCCAGUUCUUCCCGUUGCUCCCGCAAACCAAAUGACGCCGAGGGUCGACAACAACACCCCGAGGGGCGAGGUCGGCUCCGAUGGGGCCGGAGGGAACUGAUCAGGUCACAACAAUAAGAGUGAUCCCUUUAAAAUCGAACUCAUGCGAUUUAUGAGGGAAGUAAACGCCCGAAUGGAUCAAAUUCGCGGUGCAUCACCAGUGUUGAAAGGGUCGGACUGAAAGAAGUACACACAAUUGCCGUACAAACCAAGCACGGCACUGGAACUGAUCCCGAAGCAGUUUAAAAUGCCCGACGUGCCGAAGCAUGAUGGAACUUCAAAUCCUCAGGAGUAUAUCACCACCUAUACAACGGCGCUGAAGGGAAAUAAUUUAGAUCCCCAUGAGAUUGAGUCUGUUUUGCUGAAGAAAUUCGGGGAGACUCUUAUGAAGGGAGCCCUGACGUGGUAUUCGCUUUUGCCCGAGCAUUCCAUAGAUUCCUUUGAGAUGCUCGUGGACUCUUUCAUCAAGGCACAUGCCGGGCCAAAAAGGUACAAACCCGAAAGGCUGAUAUAUUCAGGAUGGCGUAAGAAGAGUCCGAGUUGUUGCGGGAGUUUGUAACCAGAUUCAGGAUGGAAAGGAUGUUGUUACCGUCCAUACCGGACGAAUGGGCAGCUAAAGCAUUCACCAAAGGUUUGAAUCCGUGAAGCUCUGAUGCUUGCCGAAAACUGAAGGAAAGUCUGCUCAAAUUCCAGGUGAAGACAUGGGCAGAUGUUCACAACCGGAAUGAAUCUAAGAUAAGAAUCGAGGAUGAUCAGCUCGGUUUCCCGGCUUCAACCAAGGGUCGUGGCCGGGAAAAGAAUAUAGAGAAGUAAAGAGACGGUUUCGACUCGGGUCGAUGGUCUUCAAGGGAUCAGUUUUUACCCUAUGAACAGGCCGAAGGAUGCGCAGAGGUUUUCAGUCGGCAGAUAGAUUCACCACCGACAAGAGAACUGACCGCGGCCGAAAUAACAGGUCGUUACAGGACAAGGAGACGUCAGGUUCUCGAGACUCUUCCUACCCCAGGCUUUCCGAGUACAACUUUAACGUUAGUGUAGUAGAGGUAGUAUUGGCUAUGAGGAACAUAAAAGAGGCACGGUUCCCGAAGCCAAUGAGACCUGAUCCCAGCCAAAGGGAUCCUAACUUGUGGUGCGAAUACCACAGGACAAAUGGUUACCGGACUGGGGACUGCCAGCAUCUGCACGAAGAGGUGGCGACAUUGCUGAAAAAUGGCCAUCUCACGGAAUUCUUAAGUAACCGGGCUAAAAAUACCUAUGGUCGCAAUCAUGAUAACGCGGAGCCUUCGAAGGCAGGAGAAGUGUGAGGCCCCGUAAACUCUCGGCAGCUCGUCGUGGCAUAGACUUUUUGGGUUGAAGAAUGCAUUGAGAAGUUGGUAGAAAUUUUUGGCAGAAGAAGGAAAUUAUGCGGUUAGUUUCGCGGCCACAGAUCCAUUAUGUGGGCCGCAUACCCAUCGCAGAGUUGAGCAGAAAAAUUGUUGAAUUUUGAAGAUCAUUGUGCGUUCCAUUAUGCGUCCGCAUAAUCAUUUCGCGGUCCGCACUUCCGUCACAGAGUUAGCAUGAAGAAUUUCGUAGGGGGAUUCUGUGGUCCAUUUCGCGAUCAUAGAACUGGCCUGCGGACCGCAGACCUAUCGUAAACCUAUCCAGACUAGCCCAGCUUUUGGCAUCACUUUCGCGGUCCAUUUUGCGGGCCGCAUAUUUGUUCUGCGAUCGCAGAGUUGAGUUCGGAGGGUCCAUUUUCUAUUUUUAUAACCCGAUCCCAUUUUGAUUAAAAGCCUUUGGGGCUCAUUUUGGAGUAUACAUAUGACGCUUUUAGAGAGAAGUGUGAGUAUUUUAGAGAGAGAAGGAGAAGACCUAGCCAUUCAAAUCUUCUAUUCUUGUCCCAAUCUUCAAGAAUCAUGAAAGCCACUCACUAGACCAUCAUCUAUCCAGGUAAGUUCUUGUCCUACAUCAUCCAUGCAAGUUUGUUUAGGGUCUAAGUAGAUUGUGGAGUUGGAGAUUGGCCAUGCAUGUGACAUUAGGUGGUAGUAUGUGGGAUUGUUGAACUAUUUGGGGUAGUUUCUUGUUGAAAUUGGUUGAGGGAGGAAGGGAUUAUCAUUGUAGAGCUUUGUAGUCAAUUUUGCAUAAUAGGUGUUUGACAAAAAUCCUAAGAGAGUUACACCAUGAGAAUCCUUCUAAUUAAUAUCCGUUUUUCGCUAUCUUUCUAUAGAUUGAUAUUGCUAGGAGUGUUGGGAUGUUGUAGUAACCUAAGGAAAGCUCAAGAAAGGUAUGUUGGCUAAACUUCUCUCUUAGAAUCAAAUUCUAUAAUAUUCCCGUAAGUUUCAAGUAUGGUUGGCCCAGGUUCCUAAUUCUCAUGUUUCGAGUUGUUCCUAAUCAAAUCGAUUAUCCCAAGUAAGUGUUGUGUUGAAAGAUGCAUAUACUCAAAACGGGUUCCAAUUGUUCCUAUCAUAUUAUGAACUUUUCGAAAAUGUGUUCAAGUAUGGUUUAUGUAUUGAAAUGUUAUGACUUCAAUUAGUGUUUCAAAUGAAAGUCUUUUAUGCUUGACCUGGAAAGAAAACCCAACGUGCUUAAGACUCAUAUUGGUCAUAUACAUAUUUGAGGUUUUGAUUCCAAAUGCCCUUAAUUGUUGGUAACCUAUGAUGAUGUUUGUAAGUGAAAGAAGUAAGAGUGAGAUGUAAAACGUGGCCAUGGUUGUUGUAACUAGUGCAUUUGAUUUGUAUUUGUGUUUCAAUCGUAAAUCACCAUGCUCUCCUUUAUAAAUAUCUCCAAUGUGAUUUGAGUUUUUACAUACUCAUGAGUUGAAAUUGUGUAUUUUCCUUUUGGGAAAAAUAAUUUCAAGAAUAAGUGAUGUGUCACUCAUUUAUGAUUUUAACUCGUGCUUCAAUUGCUAGUCAUUUUGCCCCAUUCUUUGGGAAGGAAUCUAUUGUGUUUAAAGCCUUCAUUACUAAUGAACUAAAAAAUGUGAUUUCCGAAAUAUUUUAUAUGUUGAUGUAUAUGAUGAUGGUCUUUGAAAGUAAAAAAUUGAAAGUGUGGAAUAUGAAAUACGGCCAACGUGCCAUGAAUAAAGAAUCAUACGUAUGGCCAAGAGAGCCAAGGAAAUAAUGAUGUUGCGAAUGGUUGAGAGUACUAAUAAAGCUAUAUAUAUGGUGUGAAAAGCUAUGAGGUGAAUGUAUUUAUACUUCUAUUUCCCUUGUGUGCAAAACAAAAAUUAUUUUUGGGAGUAUCAUUAGCGAACCGAGAAAGGGUGGGUCGAAACGACCUACACCCGAAACUAUACGUGCCGCUGUAGGAGUGGAUUGUGAUUAUUCCCCUUAUUUGGCAUGAGAUUGAAAUAUUGAUUUGAUGAGAUUAUUCCCCUUAAUUUGGAUAAGAUUGAUGAUAGCUGUGAAUUGGAAACGAUGAAGUUAAUCCACACGGCAUAUGUGGGAAGGCGGCCUAGUCGAUCGGGUGGAGAUCGGACGCCAUGUCACGCGCAUGGUGGUUCCUACUCUUGGUAACACAUUUCUUUCGCAUCACAUGUCAAUCCACAUUGUUCGUGGAGACAUGGCCUAGCCGAUCGGGCGUGAUCGGACUCCGUGCUAAAGAUACGGUGGUAUAUCGGUGCUAAUGACCUCCCAACCAAAAAUUAUACUCCCUCCGUUCCAGUUUAUGUGAACCUAUUUUCUUUUUGGUCCAUUCCAAAAUGAAUGACCCCUUUCUAAAUUUGGAAAUAAUUUAGCUUAAACUUCCAAUUCUGCCCUUGAUGAGAAGCUUUUAUAACCACACAAAUACUAUGGACCCCUUUCUGACAUGUUUAGGACCAUAAAUUCUAAAAGUCUUUAUUUUUUCUUAAAGUCCGUGCCUAGUCAAACAGGUUCACAUAAAUUAGAACAGAGGGAGUAAUAUUUUUGUAUUUUGAAAAUUAUUAUGUUUUAACUUGGCAUUUGGAUAUAAUUGAUUGUUACUUGUUGCUUCCAUGGUUUUUCCCUUCUUAUAUUGGCAUUCUAUUUCUAAAGAUGAUAUUUAGCUUCGCAUACUAGUACUAUUCCACAUGUACUAAUGUCCUAUUUGUUGGGGGCGCUGCAUCUUCAAUGGAUGUAGGUGGUUCGUCAGCGGACAGCUUUGAUCCUCGUUAGCAGUUACUCUUUAUUCAGCAGUGUUGGUGAGCCCUACUUUGUUCCGGGCCUUAUGUCACCUGACAUUGUUUCUUGUGUUUUGAGGUAUAGCCGGGGCCUUGUCGCCGGCACUUCCAUACUAAUCUUCUGUUGUACUUAGAGGCUCCGUAGACAUGUUGUGGGUGGAGUCCAAUGUUGGGUAAUGAAAUAGAAGUGUUGGAAUUUGGCAAACACGUUUAUCCUUGUAUCUAUAAACUUGUAAUAUUUUGGAAAUCAUAAAUGAAUAUCCUUUGAGUAAUAGAAAAAGAAUGUAGAACACUUGAAUCUUCUCAUGUCUAUCACUUGUACUGAUUCUUAUAUUGUUAAUGGGCAAAGUUGGGUAGAAGGCAUCUACGAGGCUUGCUUAAUCAAGGUAACUCGGUUAAGCGUAGGUCGUGCUCCCCGGGGUCGGGGAGUGACAAGAAGAUCCCCUGCGCCUGACGAUCAACAUGAUUUUCGGUGGCAAGAGACUCCGGGAAGUCGUUGAAGACGACAUUACUUUUAUGGAGGAAGACACGGAUGGACUGCUGCUUCCAUAUAACAACGCCCUAGUAAUCUCUCUAAAUGUCUUAGAUUUUAAAAUUAAACGUGUUCUGGUCGAUCCAGGAAGUUCGGCCAAAAUCAUACAAUGGAGGGUGUUGGAGCAAGCCAAACUCACCGGAAGCAUCAUUUCGUCCACAAAGCUCCUUGCCGGGUUCAACCUAGCAAGUGUGACAACUAGAUGAGAGAUCCUGCUGGCCACGAAUGCUGAUGGGGUGAUGAAAAUGACCCUUUUCGAGGUAGUGGACAGAGAUAUGGGCUAUAAUAUUAUCCUGGGUAGACCGUGGUUGCACGAGAUGAAGACUGUACCAUUAGCAUAUCAUCAGUUGCUGAAAUUCCCAACUCCUGAGGGAGUUAAACAAAUAAGAGGUGACCAACCGGCAGCAAGGGAGAUGAAUGCAAUCUCGGUCUCCAGUAGAAAAGAAAAAGAGCAUGUGUCAAAGCAAUUACAGUAACCAGUGCCUUGUCCCGAGCCGAGCGAAGUCAACCAGGGGGAAGAGUCACCGGAAUCCUAUCAGGUACCAAGGUAUUUUCAGGUACCAGAAGAGACGGACGCAACAAAAUCUACAGCUGAGGAACUUGAACAAGUCGCAUUGUUCGAAAUGUUCUUAGAAAGGAAGUUCCACUUAGGGACAGGAAUGCACCCCGAGCUCAGGUCUGGUUUUAUUGAAUUUCUUAAAUUUAAUGUCGGUUGUUUUGCGUAGUCGCAUGCGGAUAUGACAGGUAUCCCGCCGGAAGUGGCCGGACACAAGUUAAGCUUGGAUCCCAGUAUUCCUCAAGUAAGAUAGAAAAAAUGCCCUAUUUCUGAGGCCAAAAAUAAAUUCGUCAAAGAAGAGGUAACUCGCCUGCUUGAUAUCGGUUCAAUCCGAGAGGUAAAGUAUCCCAAAUAGCUAGCUAACAUAGUAAUAGUUCCAAAGAAGAAUAAUAAAUUCCGCAUGUGUGUAGACUAUAAGGACUUAAAUAAGGCGUGCCCAAAAGAUUCGUUCGCAUUGAUCAAAUUAUUAAUGCAACGACCGGGCACGAGUUAAUGAGUUUUCUCGAUGCUUACUCCGGGUAUAAGCAAAUCAAAAUAGACCCGGAGGAUUAGGAAAAAACUUUGUUGAUCACGAAUUUCAGCACACAUUGUUACAAUGUGAUGCCCUUCGGGCUAAAGAACGUUAGAGCCACUUAUCAACGGCUCGUGAACAAGAUGUUUGAAAAACAAAUAGGGAAAACUAUGGAAGUUUACAUAGAUGAUAUGUUUGUUAAGUCUUUGAACGGAAGUGAUCAUCUUAAACACUUGAAAGAGACUUGUGUUUGGGGUCAGCUCCUGUAAGUUCCAGGGAUUCCUGGUGUCACAAAGGGGGAUCGAGGUGAAUCCCGAUAAAAUUAAAGCCAUCAGAGACAUCCCGAACCAGUUGUCGAGCAUGAAGGAGGUCCAAAGGUUGACAGGGAGACUGGCCGCUUUGAGCAGAUUCAUUUCACAGUCUUCAAAGAAAUGUCAUCACUUCUUCUCACUGCUCAAAAAGAGGAACAACUUCGAAUGGACCCCAGAGUGCCAGCAGGCUUUGAGGGCUCUGAAAAGGUAUUUGUCAAGUCCUCCGUUAUUUUCAAAACCGGAGGAAGGCGAACAACUACCGAUAUACAUAGCGGUCUCGGAGGUUGCGAUAAGUGCUGUUUUAGUUCAUGAGAAUGAAAGUACGCAAUAUCCUAUUUACUACAUUAGUAAAAUUUUAAUGAGAGCAGAAACUCGCUACCCACAUCUGGAAAAAUUAGCCUUUGCCCUCGUAGUAGCCGCUCGAAAGCUAAGACCUUAUUUUCAAUGUCACCCGAUAGUUGUAGUGACCACUUUUCCCCUGCGGAAUAUUCUUCAUUAACCCAAACUCUCAGAUAGGCUGGCCAAAUGGGUCAUCGAAAUGAGUGAGUUUGACAUAGAAUACAAACCCAGGACUGCAAUUAAGUCACAGGUUUUGGCUGACUUUGUCACCGAUUAUAGUCCAGGACUUCUACCUUUGGCUACCAAAGAAGCAGUAAUGGUGUCAGAAUCGACAUCAGGAGUAUAGACCUUGUUCACUGACGAAGCUUCCAAUGUGAAAGGGACCUGUCUCGGCAUAGUAUUAAUCAUACUCUCGGGAGAAACCUUGAGGCAGGCCAUACGAACCGUUCCUUUAACUAACAAUUAAGCGUAGUAUGAAGCUUUGAUUACAAAACUCGAGCUGGCCCGGGGACUGGAUUCCGAGAUCAUCAAAAUCAAGUGUGAUUCUCAAUUGGUAGUAAAUCAGGUCUACGGGAUCUACAAAGCUAAAGAAGAACUCAUGCAACAAUACAUAAUGAAGGUUCAGGCUCUGCUCGCCCGGUUCUGGCAGUGGUCAAUUACACACAUCCCAAGGGAAGAGAAUGCAGAAGCAGAUGCACUACCCAACCUUGGUUUGUCUAAGGAAAUGAAAGGAUCAGACUUCAGUACGGUCAUGCAGCUUAUGCACUCGGUGCUGGACGCAUAUAGUUAUUAUGAGGUAAACGCGACCAAUCUAAGUUGGGACUGGGGAAACGAGAUUAUUGACUAUCUCGAGUGCGGAAAAUUGCCUGAAGAUCCCAAGGCAUCUCGAGCACUGCACACUAAAGUGGCUCGAUACAACUUCAAGGGAGGUCAAUUGUACAGAAGAUCUUUCCAAGGCCCGUUGGCCCAAUGUUUGGGAGCCUCCGAAGCUAAUUAUGUUAUGUGAGAAUUCCACGAAAGGAUUUUCAGAAAUCAUUCAGGCACAGAUUCCUUAGUACUAAAAUUAAUAAGGGCAGGAUAUUAUUGGCCCCGGAUAGAACAAGAAGCCAAAGCUUAUGUUCAAAAUGAGAUAAAUGUCAACAUUACGCAGCGUUGGUACAUCAACCAACAGAGCCAUUGCACUCAGUUCUGUCACCAUGGCCGUUCAUGAAGUGGGGAAUGGAUAUCGUCGGACCGCUACCACCGGCCCCUGGUAAGGUAAGAUUUCUUUUGAUUUUAACUGACUAUUUUUCUAAGUGGGUUGAAGCAGUUCCUUAUCAGAAGAUAGGCGAAUGUGAGGUUCUAGAUUUCUUGUGGGAGAACAUUAUUUGUAGAUUUGGGAUACCAAAAGAAUUAGCUUGCGACAACGGGCCAUAAUUUAUAGGCGCAAAAGUCACAAAGUUCCUUGAAGACUUGAAAAUCAAGAGGAUCACAUCAUCACCCUAUCAUACAAGCGCAAAAGGCCAAGUAGAAUCAACGAACAAAGUGAUUAUACAAAGUCUUAAAAGAGAUUGGAAACAGCUAAAGGUAAAUGGCCUGAAGAUUUGUUAGGUGUACUAUGGGCGUACCGAACAACGGCCAAGUCAAGUAUGGGGAAGACUCAUUUCUCUCUUUUAUACGUAGCAGAAGCGCUGAUCCCGAUAGAAGUAGGUGAACCUACCAUGAUAUAUUUUCGGUCAAACGAAGAAGCAAAUAGUGAAGUAAUGUUUGUUAAUUUGGAGCUGCUCGAUGAACAUAGACACUUGGCAUUUAUAACGAUGGCAUCUCAAAAACAAUGAAUAGAGAGAUAUUAUAAUCGAAGAGACAACCUCCGUUAUUUCAAAAUAUGAGACUUGGUUUUAAGGAAAGUAACCCAGAACACCUGGGAACUUAAUACAGGAAAGCUAGGUCCAACAUGGGAAGGCCCCUACUGGGUUUCAGCUGUCACCGGGAAAGGGUCAUACGAGUUAGAGAAUCAAGAUGGAGAAAAGUUGCCAAGUAACUGGAACACGGCACACCUCAAGAGAUACUAUUACUGAUGAACAUCACCUGUACUGAAAGUAUGUGCUACAUUCUUUUUUCCUUCAUCCGGUUUUUGUCCCAAUUGGGUUUUUCUGACAAAGUUUUUAACGAGACAACAAUGGAAAGCAUACUACGAAGGAAGUUUCAACAACAGCAAUAAGACCUUUUAAUUACAAGUCACACAAGCAAAGAACCACUACGGAGCGAUUAGAUAGUCUUUUGCUCGAUAGCAAAGUUCCUACCGGGAAGUUGAGUUUGCUAUCAAACAGAGAUUUCCCGCCCAUUCACAAGUGCAAGCCACUGGGGGAUUGUUAAAUAAUCUUUGUCUCGGUAGCAUAAAUUCCUAAGGGGAAGUGAAGUUUGUUACCGAACUGAAGACUAUCUAGCAAUUCACUAGCUAGUGGAAUCCUCGAAGGUGUAAAACUCCUAGUGUUCUAAUUCGCAUUCUUCGCAUUCGAACACUGGGGGGGAUGAUAUGAGGAUAUGGAAACAAUGACUGCCACGUUACCCAGAAUAUAAAAACAGGAAAUAUAAUUGUAUCAUCGGGACCGGGGACUAUGCAGCCAGCCCCGAAAACAAGUUGUACAAGUUAGCCACAAGAAAUGGUAAUUUCUUUCUUUUUAGCACAACGAAUGCUAUGUACUUUUGAAAAUAGAUGGAAUAAAGUAAAGUCCUUUUAUUUUUAUCUUGUUUCUUGUCUGAAUGAUGAAUUAAUUUUAUCAUUUAAAAGUUAAACAAGUACUUCAAAUGCUAGUACCGUAAUGAACAGGAGACGUCCUCUUCAAAAGCAUUGUAAACAAAAGAGGGCCCUAUCUUAUGAAAACCCUCAUGAUAAAUGGUUGAUUUCGAAAAAACAUAUGCCCAAAAUCCAAACGCUUUCAUGGGAAAAUACACCCAAAGCCUUGCAUAACUAGACGCAAGUAGUAAAGCCUGCGCAAAUACUUAAACGAAAAAAGACACAAAGAGCAAAUUUGCGCAAAUAUUUAAACGAAAGUACGCAGAAACGGAAACUUAUAUGAUACUUGAACGAAAAAGUUUUUUUAGUCACAAUAAAUGUGCCAAACAGCACAGGUACAAAAAUUCAAAAAAGAAGGCAAAAAACUAAGCCACUACAUCUCCGGAACCCGGAGGGAGAGAAGCAUCUACACACCCAGGAGAAGCAAGUCCAUCCGUUGUUGGUCCGAUAUUUUGGCCUUCAUCAUUUUGGCCUUCAGCAUCAUCACCUUUCGGUUCCUCUUUAGUUUCCGACAACUCAGAAUCGGUAGCAUCAGGUCGGGCCGAAAGACCCCUUUUUGCAGUUAACUCCAGCUCACGAGCCUUAGCGAUUUUGGCAUCAAAGUCAAUGAUACCCGCUUUGGCCUCUUCCGAGGUUUUUCUCCUCAUACUGUAUAUAGCAUAUAUUUUUUCAACAAGGAGGGAAGCCGCUCGGCACUGAAGUUCUCCUUUAAGCUGGCUGACCUCAGCAGAGAGGUUGUCUCGCGCGAAUCUCAUAGAUCGAAGGCUAGCUUCAAAAUCACGGACAGUGGAGCUGUAAAUUUUAUUAUGCUUUAAGGUUUUCUUAUGUUUCUCCUUCAAUUGGGCAUACUUCGCCUCAGCAACAAUAACUUCUUCAACCUUGGAAUUUAAGGCCACCUCAAAAUUAUUCAAUUUUUCACUGGAGGCUACCUCACGAUCGGAUGCAGCAAGAAUGACAUUAUGAACUUCAACACAUUUGGCCUUAGCCUCUUCAAAUUAUGCUUAUGAAGUGUAAAUGAAGAAGUUUGAUAUGUAUAAGCAAAGAAAUAGGCGGCUAAAAUCGUGACCAUAAUUACCUCGAUAAUCGGCAAAAGUAAUGCUGAAUCGUGGGAUGACGCGUGUUCGGGGCAUUAAAGACGGAGAGACGUGCGUCUAAUCAACCGUCAAUAACUUUUCAGAGUGCAUCAUAAAAUUUUUCGCCAAGAAAGGUAUCUCUACCAACAUCCCGGUGACACAAAAGCUAUGCCACCGGAAAGCGGGGGAACUAUUUGUAUGGGGUAAAAUAUAUUCAUAUUUAAUGAUUGCAUGAAAAAGCGACAUGUGGAACCAAAGACAGAAGAUUGACAAACCCGAAGGCAAUGAUUUCGCUUGUCAUCAGAUAGAAUGAUACUGAUAAAGAGAAAAUAAAUGAGGCUAUCUGGUAGCAUUCAAUGACGAAUAUUCUACAACAUUAAAUGUAUGAUCCGUUACAGAGAACAUGGCAUUCACUGCCCACCGUUACACAUUCUUCAAUGGCUCUCAUAAUUGUCAUUAAAGGGGAGCUUGAUCCUAGGACCUUGUUCCCUAGGUAUAACUAUAAAUAGUGAGCUCUAUCAUCAUUGUAAGGGGACGGAUUUUCUCGCAAGCAUAUACUACAUCUAAAACUCAAAUAACAAUUCACUUUCUUGCUUAUUUGCACUGUUCUUAUUGCUCCCGGUAACUCUGCGGCCGGAACCAAGAUAUCUGCCGUUUAUUUCAAUUUCAAGGCUAAGUCUUAUAUUCCUGUCUGAUUCAUCUAUUAUUUUUGGAUCAAAUCAAUUCGCUUGUCUACAAACCACGUAUAAAUUCAAUUGUACCAUUUUACGGGUAAACAAUAAUUUUUUUGAAAUGAACAAAAUAUAUAAAAUACUUAGAGAUCAAACAAUUAAUAUAACGAAAUAAUAGGAUUUUUAAAAAAUUAUAAUAACUGCAAUUUUAUUUAACAUGAAAGAUAUUAUAGUUGUAUUACGUAAUUCAAAUAAGAUGAGAAUUUAUAUUAGAUAAACUUUUAAUUGAUUUUAAAGCUCUAAAUAUUAGGAGUCCUAUAUGGUUCAGAUUAGGAAUUAUUUAAUAAGGAUUGUUUUAAUUUUCAAGUCGUAAAAACUAAACAUAUACCUAAAUGCUAAUUUUAUAGUGAAAUUUCUUUUUUAAAAAUAAAAUAGUUGAUCAAUAUUUCAUGUGUGGGCUUAGUGCUUUUAUAAUAGUAUAAAUAGAUUAUAGAUUUAUAAUCGGCUAUAGAACUGAGACGCAUUAAUUUUAUAUAAUUAAUUAUCUUAUUAGAAUAAAAAACACACAUAGAGAAAGUUUUGUGAAAAAUGAUAUUUGAUUAUCUGAAUAUAUAAUAAUAUGUCCAUUACUCUUUAAUCAAACACUCCUUCUACAAAGUUUAUGUAUCAAAAUGUAAUUAAACAUGCUAAUAAAUACUAUAAUUAGAAUAAAUUAUUUUAAUAUCCACAAUUAUUAUACUCUUUAUUUCAACAUUAAAUUUUAGGAAUAAGUUUGAAAUGAUACUAAACAAUUAUACACUAAAUAUAUGCAGCUCAAUAAUAUUUAUAGAAUACUUUAAAGUUUUAUACUUAUUGAGAUGGGGUACAUGCGCAAAGCGCGUAUCCUGAGACUAGUUAUACUAAAAGUAGGAAGGUCCUAUCUUCAAAGUUAGUUUACGAUAAUACCCUUUAAAAUUUGAUACCAUUUUGUCCUUGGAAAAAAACCCUUCAAUUAAAUAAAUUUUUUUCAGUUAGAUAAUUCUUAUUUUAUUAGAUUAAAAAUGAAUCGGUAAAUUAGAAGCGAAGCAGUAACACUUUAAUGCUUCAGACUCACUGCAAUGAAUCCAGUGAGAGUUGAGGGCAUUUGAUUCUCUUCAUUUAUUUUCCAAGACGUUUCUCAUAAUUUAUCAUGGGAACCAUUCACAUUUUUUUUCCUUCAAAUUUUGCCAUUUAUAUGCUAUACUAUUUGGAAAUUCAAAAGUCGAUUCUUGAAUUCUCUUAUUUGCACCUCCUCUUUUCACUUUUCUUUCUUGAAUUUCUUCCAUCACUUUUCUAACAAUGAUAACGGUUCAACUUUACAUUAUCUUCUCUUCUCUUAUCCUUUGUCUGAAAUAUCUUUUCCAACAAUCAUUAGUCUUUAAAUUUCGUUCAGGUAGGUUUGUCAAUUACUUUAUGUUUGUUCACUUGGGCUCUUUUCAUCUUUUGCCAGUUUUGACUCACAUUUCUAGCGUUUGAUGUAUUCUUUGUUGUUACUAUGUAAUUUGUGUUGUUGGAAUUGUUAUUUUUUAUUGUCUACCAUAAAUGUAUCAUUGUUAUUUUAUAUACAGCACUAGAUCAAGAAAUUUUUUAAAUCCUUUCCAUAUCUUAUAUCAUCAUUACGGUCGAAAUUCUAUCUUAAAAUUCCUUCCAUUCUGUUAUGAAGAUAAAAAAGGAAAAAACUCAAGCAGAUAAGAGGAAGAGUAGAUGAAUGAUGUUGGAGAGAAAUGAAUACAGUAAUAAUCAGGGUAGGCUUUAAUGUUAUUCCAAGUAAGGCUUAUGCCUUAGGGGUCCAUUGUUUAAAAUAAUAGGUUUAUAGGUAUUUUAAAAAAAUGACAUUUAGUACUUCUUAUACAAAAAUAGAGUUUUUCUAUAGCUGUUGGUUCAAAGAAAAAAAAAAUUUCAAGAUUAUAAUUGAUAAAAUUUUACCUGAGAUUAAUAAUGUCUCAAGAUAAAUUAAAUGAGUUGGCAAUAUUAUCAAAUAAAAUAAAUUAUUAGAGGAAAUCGAUUAUAAAAAAAUUAUUAAUAACUUUGCAUCUCGAAAAGAUAGAAAAAAUAGACUUCAAAUAAAAAUAUAUAUCAUAACUUGUUUUUAAAAAUUUAGGUCUCAUAUUGAACUUUGGCUUUACGCCACACAUGUAUUUGUGCCGCCCCUUUAACAAUGUCUGCAAUGAGGAGAACGACAAUUCCACCGCCAUCGUCCUAGGGCUUGAUUUUCACCGGGAAGGUAUUGCAAAGAAAGACAAAGAUUAAUCCAUCCAUUUUGAAGGUAAUUAACAAUUCUUUAAUCUAUGCAUUGACAUAAUUUAUGCAUUAGAUUUUUGUUUCUGUUGUAGGCUAUUGGAAUCGGCUAUUUUAUAGAGUUCAUAUGUACUUUGAAUCUUGAAAAAUUCAAGUCUCUUCUUGGUAUGAGGGAAAGAGAAAAUAAAAUAGUUUAUUAUACGAUUAUUAUAUAUAACUUUAGGAUUUAAUGAAAUUAGUUUUUGUUCAUUCUUUCUUAAAAUGUAUUUUGUUAACUCAGUUUUUAUAGAAAAUAUUUGAAUAUUCUGCUCUGAGAAUUAGUGAAAUGCAUGAUCAACGGUAAGACAAUAAUUAUUUUUCUACUUAUAGAAUUUACACAAAAUAAGUUUUUGUUUCUUUUCUUAUUUUAAGCCUUUUAUAAAUGAUAUUAUCUUAUUUUGAAUCUUGUGUAAAUACUUUGUAUUUUUUAUUCCUUAACUUGUGUGUCAUCUUCUUUAAUAUAAUGUUGCUAUGACUUAAUAGAAUAAGCAUCUCAUAAAAACAUGUUUAUAUAUAUAUAUAUAAAAGAAUAGGAGUGUGAUUCUGAAAUAGUUUGUGAUGACCCGAUAGGUCAUAUAUAGUUACGCUUUAUUUUUGUGUUCCGAGACCUCAAAUAACUCCAUUUAUCCUUCCUCAAUUUGUGUGCACAGUCCGUGUCUUUUUUCGAAAAGGUUUUAUGAGAAAUAUUAAUAAAAAUGUGAAAUCGUGCCUUAAAACGCAUUUGAGUUGACUACGGUCAACGUUUUUUAUAAAUGGGCCCAGAUCAGUAUUUUGACGGUCCCGAUGGGUCUGUAUCGUGAUUUGGGAUUUGGGCGUAUGCCUGGAAUCAAAUUCGGAAGUCCCUAGCUUGAUCUAACGUAAUUUGUUGAAAACUAGAAGUUUAAAGGUUCAAAAAGUUUCUAAGUUUGACCGUAAGUUGACUUUGUUGCUACUAAUUUCGGAUUUCGAUUCCGGAACUUGGUAUAGGUGCAUUUCAGUAUUUAUGAGUUAUCUGCAAAAUUUGGUGCAAAACGGAGUUGGUUUGACGUUAUGCAGACGUCCGGUUGUAAAAUUCCAUGUUCUUAUGUUUCUUUGAAAAUUUUAAUUGUUUUGGUGUCCGAUUUGUGGUUCUAGGUGUUAUUUUGAUAUUUUGAUUGCGCGAACGAGCUCGUAUGGUGUUAUUACACUUGUGUGCAUGUUUGGUUUGGAGCCCGAGGGGUUCGGGUGAGUUUCAGAUAGGCUACAGAUGAUUUUGAACUUUAGACAAUUUCUGGUUUUUGACUUCUGCUGGUGUCUGAUGUGUUCUUCUUCGCGAUCGCGAAGGUACUCCCCGACCGCGAAGAGUAAUUUGGGUUGGGGAGGCUUUCCUUCAUCACGAACACGAUGAUUGAUACGCGAAUGCAAUGCUUUGGGGGGUUGCCCUUCGCGAAUGCGGACAGCCUCUCGCGAACGCGUAGUGUUGAGGGACCUGGGAAGAGGGAUCUAGGGUUUGCUCUACGCGAACGUGAUCCAAGGCUCGCAAACGCGAUGGCCAGGGGAGACAGACCAACGCGAACGCGUAGGUCUUUGGCCGCUGCUGCUUCGUGAUUGCAUCAGGUGUCUCGCGAAUGCGAUGGACACCUGACACCCAGACUUUAAAAUAUCGCAAAGAAGGGAUUUCACCCAUUUUUCACCAUCUUUCCAUUAGAGCUCGGCCUAGAGGCGAUUUUGAAGAGAAAAUUCAUUACCCUUUCAUAGGUUAGUGUACUUUAACUUAUUUUCUUCCAUUUCCAUUAACACCCAUUAAUUUCUAAUCUUAAUAUAUGUUCUUUCAUGGUAGAAAAUUAGGAAUUUGGGAAGAAUUGGGAGUUUUUGUAAAUUUGGGAUUUAGACAUCAAAUUGAGGUCGGAUUUCGAAACUAAUUACAUAAUCGGGCUCGGGGGUGAAUGGGUAACUGAGUUUUGGUCCGAAUCUCGGGUUUUGACCAAGCGGGCCCGGGGUUGACUUUUAUUGACUUUUUGGAAAAAGUGUAAAGAUCUUAACUUUAUGUAUUGUAAUUGAUUUUUCUAGCAUUAUUUGAUGUUAUUGAGUCGAUUUUGAUUAGAUUCGGUUGGUUCGGAGGUGAAUUUUAGAGGAAAGGCCCCGGUUGAGUUUUGAUUUGCUUGCAGAGCGAGGUAAGUGUUAGGUCCAACCUUGGUUUGAGGGAAUUAGGAACCCUUGAGCUAUGUGCUAUGUGAAUUACAUGUGUAGCGACGGAUAUGUGAGAUGACGAGUGUAUAUGUGCCGUCAAAUACUUGUUUCCAUAUUUUUCCUUAUUUCAUUAAUUAUUUUAUUCCAUGUCUUAGCUGUUACAUGCUUAAAUUGAUUCCUAUGCCUUAAUUUUCUACUUGUCACUUAUUUCUCGCUUAUUAAAAUGUUCGUUUCUCCCAUGCUUUCAUUAUUAAUUGCUACUUGACUUAAUUGUCUUGCUUGUACACUUUAAUUGUCAUAUAUUUGACUUGUCUUAUUGUUUUGGAUUAAUCGUAGUAUUCCUUGACUUGAUACGGAGUUCCUUAUUGCUUUGCUUUCAUAUUCCUUAGUCGUAGAAGUUCUUGAGAAUUGAGUUGUUGAAUUUGAUCACAUUUAUUGAUUUUGUUUAUGGAUCGGGUUGCACGCCACAACAGAUGGAAUAAGGAAGGAUUAAUAUUGAUAUGGUGGGAUCGGGUUGUACACCGCAAUAGAUUUUAUAUGUGAUUUUGAUAUGGAGAAAUAAGGGAGGAAUAUGAUCUUGAUUCUAAUUAUAUUGUGAGAUCAGGUUGCGCGCCGCAACGGAUUUUAUAAGUUAUUAUUGAUAUUGAUAUGGUAAAAUAAGAGAGGAUUGUGUUUGUAAGGUGGGAUCAGGUUGCGCGCCGCAACGAAUGGUGUAUUUUGUAUUCAUUGUUGUACUGUGUUAGCUUUCGUUGCUUUCAUACUAGAUUCUGAGUAUUGGUAUUUCUAGUUUUACCGAUUCUGAGGAUUGAGUUUAUUUUCUUAAGUUAACUGCCUUAGUUUCCUGUAUUCCUUUCCUGUUAUCAUUAUUAUACUGCAUACAGGUUAUUGUAAGUGACCCACCUUAGCCUCUUCACUACUUCAUUGAGGUUAGGCUCGGCACUUACAAAGUACAUGGGGUCGGUUGUACUCAUACUACACUCUAUAUUUCUUGUGCAUAUUUUGGAGUCGGUCCUAGCGGCGGUCAGUGGAUUGCUCCGAUUGAUUGCCAUAUUGGAUACAUGAGGUACAGCUGCUCGGCGUUCGUAGCCCUUAAGUCCCCUUCUAUUUAUCCUAGCUGUUUAUUUCAUUUCAGACAAUUUUACUUUCAUUCAGACCAUUAUCUGUAUUAUUCUAGACGCUCGUGCAGUUGUGACACCAGUUCUGGGAUUGUUUUAGAUAUUGUGGUUAUUAUGGUUUUCUCACUUUAUUUCGGUUCUAUUUUAGUUUAUUCAGUUAAACUGGUAUAAAUUAAUUUGAUUUGUCAAAAAUGGCUAAAAACUAUUCUAACGUUACCUUGCCUAGCAAGUAAAAUAUUAGGCGCCAUCACGGUCCCGAGGGUGGGAAUUUCGGGUCAUGACAAGUUGGUAUCAGAGUACUAGGUUGCCUAGGUCUCACGAGUCAUGAGCAAGCUUAUUAGUGUCGAAGGAUCAGUACGGAGACGUCUGUACUUAUCUUCCAGAGGCUAUGGAGUCUAGGAAAAAUUUCACUUCUUUCUUUCUUUAUUGUGCGAUUUUAUUCUAUCAUUGAUGAUUGAACCAUUCUAUUCUUGUUCUCUCGCAGAUGGCAAGAACACGCACUGUAUCUACCGCCAUACAUGAGCCGGAGCCCACUGUGGCAGCUAUGACUAGGGGCAGAGGCCGAGGUUGCUCCAGAGGCCGAGGCAGAGCUCAGUCUAGAGCUCGAGCACCUGCACCCGUAGUGGAUCCUCAUGUUGUUUUUGAGAAGGAGGUUCCAGCUCAGACUGUACCCAUCGGACCAGCUCAGGAUCUGGAGGGGUUCAUAGCCACUCCAGUGCUUCAGGACGCUCUAGUCCGUUUGGUGGGUCUUAUGGAGAGUAUGGCCCAAACCGGUACAUUCCCGGUGGCACCAGCCGUCUUUUGGGUUGGGGGAGGAGCACACACUCCCGGCUACUCACACCCCGGAUCAGGUGUCUCCCCAGUAUCAGACUCCAGUAACCCUGCCAGUUGGGGUGGUUCAGUCGGUUGUUGUGGCACAGGCCGGUGAUAGGUCCGCUAUGUCUUCUGAGGCCCUGUUGAGGUUGGAUAAGUUUACCAAGCUCUUACCUUUUCACUUUAGGGGUGCAUCUUCUGAGGACCCACAUAAUUAUAUAGAGAGAUUAUACGUUGACUAGACCAGCUGGGUCGCCUCCACUUACUUGAGAUCAGUUCUCACAACUAUUUCUAGAGAAGUUCAUUCCUGUCACUCUAAAAAAUGAGUACCGCAAGCAGUUUGAGCGUCUUCAGUGGGGCAGUAUGACUGUUACCCAGUACGAGACUUGAUUUGUGGACCAAGCUUGCCAUGCCACCAUCUUGCUUCCUACUGAGAGGGAGAGAGUGAGGAGAUUCAUUGUUGGGCUCACUUACACUCUCAGGUGGCCAAGGAGACCGGGUGUCACAACCCAAAACUCGACACGUCGUGAUGGCACCUAUCAUGAUACUAGGCAAGCCGACAACUCACAUAUCCCAAUAUUUUUAGAAGAAAAACAUGCUAGAAAUAGGUUUAAAUCAAUGGAAAUCUCAUAAAACCAGAUGAAACGUCGCAACUAAAUGCAAGAAAUCCCCAAAACUUGGGUGUCACUAAAUACAUGAGCAUCUAUAUAAUUACAUAGUCUGGUACACUGUCUAGAAAGUAGAACGAAAUAAAUAAAAUUGAAAGAUAGGGUAGGAGAGUCAAGGUCUGUGGACGCCCAAGCAGCUACCUCGAUGAUCUCCGAACAGGUAAAAAAUCCACGAUCAAUAACCACCGUGCCCAGAAAUGCUUGGAUCUGCACACAAGGUGCAGGGUAUAGUGUGAGUACAACCAACUCAAUAAGUAUCGAAAAUAAAUAAGACAAGUUAAGAGAAGCUUAAAUUAUUGAGGAUACUGGUUAAUUCGGUGUGAUUCUGCCCCUUUAAACCAACACAACAUAACAUUUAAAGCUAACUCAUAAGGCUUCGUGAGAAGAAUGUCAGUGUGUGCAUGUGUACUGUUUUCUCAAAAUACCCCCCUCAACAAUAUUAUGGCAUGUAGAGGAAAGAAACAAGUAAAUCAGAUAAGUGAUCAAGGGAAUAUAAGUUCCACAUACUGCACGGACAACUCACGUGCGACACGGGCAACUCACAUGUCAAUAAUAUCAAUAUAUAUGGAUCUGCACGGACAACUCACGUGCCAAUAAUGUCAAUACAGGGAUCUGCACGGGCAUCUCACAUGUUGUACGGACAACUCGUGUGCCAAUAACAUAAUCCGUCUGGCAUAGCCGCAUGCCCAGUCCAAAAUAUCAUAUAGAAUCAAUAAAGCAAGUAUACAGGUAUAAGAUAAGUGAAAUAAGAUUUUCAUGUCCAUGGACUGGUGUAAAUAAUAUGCUAAAGUCUAGGGAUGUGCAAAGUGUGUUAUCGUAGUCCAAACCAGCAAUUUUAUCAAUGAAAAGCAUUUAUCAAGUUCGUCCAGGGAUAAAACCUCCAAGUAGUCUCAUCAUGGCUCCACUAGAUCACAUAAACUGAUAUAACAUGUUAGAUGCCAAAACUUGAAGCUCAACAGUCAUUUCUGGGCUUGUAAGAGCCCGAGCACAACUCAAACAUGAAUAUACAAUCCCGGUGUCCGCACAUGGGAUCAUCCCCAUGCAUGUACACACCCAAAAGCACGUGGUUAUCACAAAAAUUCAGGUAAAUAGUGCCUCAACCGAGUUUAAAUACGAUACUUACCUCAAGCAAAUCAAAUCACUCUGCUAGCAAGCCCUUGCCUCGCGAAUCGGCCUCUGAACGCCUCGAAAGCCAUAACCAAUUUGAUACAAUUAACAGGGGCUAAAGGAAUCAAGUCCAUAAGAAAAUACUAAAUUCUUAAUCAAAAGCCAAUCAACCAAGUUUACCCAUACCAAAAUUACUCAAAUAAAAUACCAAAAUCUCGAUCAAAUCCCCAAAAUUAGGCCUAAGAACUUUCCUCCAUUUUCCCCCAAUUUUCCAACCCAAAUCACUAAUUAAAUAUUUGGGACCAUGUGUAUCGGUCGUGUAUGGUGUCUAUUGGGGGAUUAAAGAUGAGAGUUGAUCUUUUACUGCUUAGCAUGGUUGAUUUUGAUUUAAUUUUAGGCAUGGAUUGGUUGUCACCAUGACAUGCUAUUCUGGAUUAUCAUGCUAAAACUGUUUUGUUGGCGAUGCGUUGCCUAGGGUUGAGUGGAGAGGUUCCCUGGAUUAUGUUCCCGGUAGAGUGAUUUCAUAUUUGAAGGCUCAACGGAUGGUUGAGAAGGGAUGUCUGCCAUAUUUGGCGUUUGUGAGGAAUAUUAGUGCUGAUACUCCUACCAUUGAGUCUGUUCCAGUAGUGAGAGACUUUCUAGAUGUGUGUCAUGUAGACCUGUCGGGCAUUCUGCCCGACAAGGACAUUGAUUUCGGUAUUGAUAUAGUGUCGGGCACUCAGUCCAUCUCUAUUCCACCGUAUCUCAUGGCACCAGCGAAAUUGAAAGAGUUAAAGGAAAAGCUUCAGGAGUUUCUUAAUAAGGGCUUCAUCAAGCCUAGUGUGUCGCCUUCGGGUGCAUCGCUUCUAUUCGUUAAGAAGAAGGAUGAUACUAUGAGGAUAUGUAUAGACUACGCGCAUUGAUGAAUUAUUUUACUAGCUUCGGGGUGCUAGAUUAUUCUUGAAGAAUGAUUUGAGGUUGAGGUAUAAUCAGUUGAAGAUUUGUGAAUUUGAUAUUGUGAAGACAGCAUUCAAGACCCACUAUGGGCACUAUGAGUUUCUUGUGAUGUCUUUUGGGCUAACCAAUGCCCCAACAACCUUUAUGCACCUGAUGAAUAGUGUGUUCAAGCCGUAUCUUGAUUCUUUCGUCAUAGUAUUUAUUGAUGUGAUAUUGUGUACUCACGCAACCUGGAGGAUCAUGAGCAGCAUCUGAGGAUUGUACUCCAGACUUUGAGGGAGAAGAAGCUAUAUGCUAAAUUCUCCAAGUGUGAGUUUUGGCUUGAUUCGGUGGCGUUCUUAGGGCACGUGGUGUCCAGUUAGGGGAUCAAGGUUGAUCUGAAGAAGAUUGAGGCAGUUCAGAGUUGGCAUAGACAGGCUUUAGCUACAGAGAUUCAGAGUUUCCUAGGUUUGGCCGUAUAUUAUUGUCGUUUUGUAGAGGGUUUCUCAUCCAUUGCUACACCUUUAACUAGAUUGACCCAAAAGAGUGCUCGUUUCAGAUGGUCCGACGAGUGUGAGGUGAUCUUUCAGAAGCUCAAGACUACAUUGACUAUAGCCCCAGUAUUGGUGUUGCCUACAGGUUCGGGAUCUUACACCGUGUAUUGUGAUGCUUCGCGUAUUGUCUUGGCGUAGUGUUAAUGCAGGACGAUAGGGUGAUUGCCUACGUGUCUCAACAGUUGAAGGUUCAUAAGAAGAAUUACUUUGUGCAUGAUUUAGAGUUGGCGACUAUUGUUCACGCAUAAAAGAUUUGGAGGCACUAUCUGUACGGUGUUCAUUAUGAGGUCUAUAUUGACCAUUGGAGUCUCCAACGUCUGUUCAAGCAGAAAGACCUUAAUUUGCGACAGCGGAGAUGGUUAGAAUUGCUGAAAGACUAUGAUAUCACCAUAUUAUAUCAUCCGGGGAAGGCCAAUACGGUGGAUGAUGCAUUGAGUAGGAAGGCUGAGGAUAUGGGCAAUUUGGCAUAUUUAUCGGUAGCAGAGAGGCCACUAACCAUGGAUGUUCAGGCCUUUCCCAAUUAGUUUGUGCGGUUUAAUAUUUCAAAGCCCAACCAUGUUCUUGCUUCCAUUGUGGCACAGUCACCAUUGUUAGAGUGUAUCAAGGCUCAGCAGUUUGAUGAUCCUCACUUGUUGGUGUUGAAGGAUACGGCGCAGCCAGGGGGUUGGGGGUGCUAAGGAGAUUUUGAUUGGUGAUGAUGGUGUAAUGUUUAUUCGAGGUAGGAUUUGUGUUCCAAAUGUUGAUGGGUUGAGAGAUUUGAACCAUGAGGAGGCUCAUAGCUUGUGCUAUUCCAUUCACCAAGGUGUCACGAAGAUGUACCGUGACUUGAAACAACACUAUUGGUGAUGGAGAAUGAAGAAAGAUAUUAUUGCCUAUGUUUCUAGGUGUUUGAAUUGUCAAUAGGUGAAGUAUGAGCAUCAGAAAUCGGGAGAGUUGAUUCAGAGAUUGGAGAUACCGGAGUGGAAGUGGAAGCGCAUCAUUAUGGAAUUUGUGGUAGGCUUACCACAGACCUUGAAGAUAUAUGAUACAAUUUGGGUUAUUAUGGACCAGUUGACUAAGUCCACACACUUCAUUUCGGUGAUGACUACCUAUUCUUCGGAACGGUUAGCUCAUAUUUACAUUUAUGAGAUUAUCCUCUUGCAUGACUUGCCCAUUUCCAUCAUUUUUGACUAAGGCACACAGUUCACAUCACAAUUUUGGAGAGCAAUACAACGAGAGUUGGGCAUGCGGGUUGAGUUGAGUACAUCAUUCCACUCUCAGACGGACGGAUAUUCCGUGCGCACCAUUCAUAUCUUAGAGGACAUGUUACGUGUCUGUGUCACUGAUUUUAGAGGUUCAUGGGAUCAGUGUUUGCGUUAACAGAGUUUUGCUACAAUAACAGCUUCUAGUCGAGAAUCCAGAUGUCCCCUUAUGAGGCCUUAUAUGGGAGGAGAUGUCGUUCUCCGGUUGAUUGGUUUGAGCCUAGGAAAGCUAGGUUUUUGGGAACUCACUUAGUCCGUGAUGCCUUAGAGAAGGUGAAGGUGAUCCAGGAGUGGCUUCGUAUAACACAAUCCAGGCAGAAGACUUAUACAGAUAGGAAGGUUCGUAAUGUUGCAUAUAUGGUGGGUGAGAAGGUUUUGCUCAGAUUUUCACCCAUGGAGGAUGUGAUGAGGUUCGGAAAGAAGGGCAAGUUAAGCCCUCCCAGUGGGAGAGGUUGCUUACAGACUUGCAUUACCACCUAGUCUAUCAGGUGUUCACCUAGUGUUUUAUGUUUCUAUGCUCUAGAAGUAUUUUGGUUACCCAUCACAUAUUUUGGACUUCAACACGGUACAACUGGAUGAGGAUUUGACUUAUGAUGUGGAGCCGGUGGCUAUUUUAGAACGACGGGUUCGAAAGUUGAGGUCAAAGAAUAUAGCAUCAGUGAAAGUUUGUUGGAGGGGUUAACCGGUCGAGGAGGCUACUUGGUAGGAUGAGCGGGAGAUGCAAAGAAAAUAUCCACACUAUUUGAGGGUCCAAGUAUGAUUCUAAACCCAUUUGGGGACGAACGUUUGUUUAAGAGGGGGAGAAUGUAAUGACUCGGUCGGUCGUUUAGUGUAUUAUAGCCUCAUUCCCCUAUUUAUUGCCUCUUCUAUGUUCAUUUGUGGUUUUGUGACUUGUCGGGGUGAUUGGUUUUGUUUCAGGAAGGUUUCAGAUUUAUUGGGACACUUAGUCUCAAGGUUGGAGGCUUAAGUUAGAAGAGUUGACCGGAGUUUGACUUUUAUAUAGAUAACUCCAUAGUGGAGUUUUGAUGAUUCUGAUAGCUUCGUAUGAUGAUUUUGGACUUAGGCGUAUAUCCGGAUAUUGAUUUGGAGGUCUGUAAGUUGGUUUGAGGCAUUUUGGCGAAAGUUGAAAAGUGAAAGGUUUGGAAGGUGGAGAAGUUUAACUGAGAAUUGAAUUUAUUGAUAUCGGGUUCCGAUUUGGUUCCGGAAGUUGGAGUAGGUCUGUUGUGCCAGUUGGGACUAGUGUGCAAAAUUUAAGGUCAUUCAGAGUUGAUUUGAUAUGGUUCGAUAUUAGUUUUAGAAGUUGAAAGUUCAUUAGUUUCAUUAGGCUUGAAUUGGGGUACUAUUUAUUAUUUUGAUGUUGUUUGAUGUUAUUUGAAGCUGCGAGUAAGUCCUUAUUGUGUUUUAGAACUUGUCGGUAUGUUUGGAUGGGAUCCCGGGGACCCCGAGUGUUAUUCGGAAGGAGUUUGAGCCAUCUUUGGACUUGGGAGUUUGGAUGAAGUUUCUGAUGCCUGGUGCUUUUGCACCUGCGAUGGAUUAGUCGCAGGUGCGAGCCUGCAGUAGUGGCUUCAAGGUCGCAGAAGCGAAAAGGGAAGUUGUUGAGGGAGUCCGCGGGUGCAGACGGCCGGGCAUAGGUGCGGAGCCGCAGAAGCGGACGAGCGGGGAGUUAGUGAUUUUCCAUAUCUGCGAAGGGAGUUCCGUAGAUGCGACACCGCAGGUGCGUGUUUUUGUCCGCAAAAGCAGAAGGACGGAUUUUGGAAGUGAGCCACAGAUUCAGUCAAUUUUCCGCAUAAGCGGGACCGCAUAUGAGAUUAAGUGACCGCAUGUGCGGACUCAAUAGCAAGUUCUUAUAUUCAAAAGGGUUUGAGUGUUUUCUCAUUUUGGGAGAUUUGGAACUCGGCUAAGGGCAAUUUUUGAGAGGGUUUUUGCUGUACUUGAAGAGGUAAGUGAAGUUUAAUCACUUUUUUAAUAAAUAUUGAUUACCUAUUGAUUAUUACACCUAGUUUAUGUGAAUUUGAAGUGAAAUUUGGGAAUUUUAGACCAUGGUAUUGGAGAGUGAGAUUUGGUGAUUUGAGGGUCGAUUUGUAGACAGAAUUGGAUAAAAUUAGUAUAGUUGGACUCUUAAUGGGUGUUCGGAAUUUGUAAAUUUUGUCGGGUUCUAGGGUGCGAGCCCGGUGUUGACUUUACAUAUUUGAUUCAAGGCUUUAGCUUUAUCAUUUGGAAUUGUUUCCUAUGGCUAUUAUUGAUGAUAUUAAGUUAUUUUGGCUAAAUUCGAGCCGUCCAGAGAUUGAUACGCGUGGGAAGGGCUUGUUAGAGGAGUGAUUUGGCUUGAUUGAGGUAAGUAUCUUACCUAAACUUGGUUGAGGCACUAGUUGUAUGAAUUAUUUAUGAUAGCUACAUGCUAUGGGUGCACAUAUGUGUGGGGUUUGAGCCCAUGUGCGAGCACUGGGAUAUUUAUCCAUGUUCAGGGUAGUGCUUAGGCUAUGAUAUGUCUAGAAUUGGUUGUUAAGCUUUAAGCUAUAAUAUUUCUCAUAUUUUUAACGUUGUUGUAAACUAUUUGAGCCAUGUUUAAGGUUACAUAGAGGCUAAUUCCCUGAAUGAAAUUAAUAAUUGUAUUUCUAUAAUAAAAUUACCGAUUUGAGCUAUGAUAGCACACUUUGCACAUUCCUAUACUUUAGCAUAUCAUUUAUACCAGUCCAGGAGCAUGAGAUCUUUUAUUCAUUCAUCAUAUACAUGUAUUCUUGUAUAUUGGAUUCUGUGUGAUAUGAUUUGGACUGGAUGCCUAUGAACACGCCUGGCGAAUUGUGUUGUUAUGCCUGUGACCAUGCCUGACGGAUUGUGAUGUUAUGCUUGUGACCAUGCCGGGCGGAUUGUGUUGUUAUGCAUGUGACCAUACUGGGCAGAUUGUGUUGUUAUGCCCGUGACUAUGCCAGGCAAAUUAUACUGUUAUGAUGUGACCAUGCCGGACGGAUUAUGACAUUGAGUUUGUGACCACGCCGGGCUGGUAGCACGUUGAAUUGGACAUGCAUGCGUGUGGAUAUGGAUCUAUCCUCCUAGGGUCACCCUCUCAUGUUUCUCUCUUGAUGGUGUACACGCGGAUUUGCUAAAAAUUGAUCAGUGGUUUGGUACGGAUAUCGAAUUAUUGAGUAAAAUCUGGUUAGUGUUUUUUCUUAGAUUUUGCAUUUCAUCUUUACUUGCAAUUUCCAUGGUUAAUUACCUGAUUUAUUUGCAUAUCAUCUUUAUAUAUUGUAUCAUUGACUGAACAGAGAACUUGUGUAAUUAUGCACAUAUACACGGGGUUCUUUCUGUGCUUUAUGACUUGAUCACAUUAUUGUUUUGUACUUAUUAAAUCGAUGAAAUUGUACAGGUUAUAGUAACUAUCAUUUAUAAUUCUUGCUUCUUUUACCUCGCCGAGGUUAGUUAUGAUACUAGUUGAGUACAUUAGGUCAUUUGUACUCAUGCUACACUCUGCACUUAAUUGUGCAGAUCCAGGUGUGGGGACUAGUCAUCAGUAGCAGAGUUGCUUAUUUAGCUGAGUAUCGAGAGUCUAGGUAGAGCUGCAUUCUUGCCCACAAUCUUGGCUUCUCUUUUCUUAUGUACUGUUGUCUUUAGUUCAGACAAUAUCAUUAUCUAGCCUUCAGACUUGUAUUCCGUUGUAGAGCUCAUGACUAUGUAUUUACCAGUUUCUGGAAGAUUUAUCAUGUAUUAGCGGUAUUUUGCUAUAUUGAGGUUUCAGACUUAUGUUAUUUUUGUAAAUUUUAUUAUUUUGGUUCUUUAUUAUUAUGUCCGACUUGCCUAGCAAGUGUGUUAGAUGUCAUCACGACGGGUUGAGAUUCUUGGAUCGUGAUAAUUCCCAGCCCGAAUUUCUUUCAAAUCAAAGUGCUCUGAUCUCUUCGGACCGGUACCCAGUCCGAAUUUAUUUCAAAUCAAAUUCUCUGAUCAUUUUGGACCGGUACUCAGCCCAGAUUUAUUUCAAAUCAAAUGCUCUGAUCACUCUACACCGGCAUCCAACUCGAAUUUCCUAAAAAUCAAAUGCUCUGAUUAUUUUGGACUGGUACCUAGCCCGGAUUUCUUUCAAAUCAAAUGCUCCGAUCACUUUGGACCGCUACCUUGCUCGAAUUUCUUUUAAAUUAGAAUUCCAACCUGGGACCCAUUUUAUUAAAAAAAAGUUAUAUCAUCCUCGUAUUAAAUCCACAUGCAUCAUUUGACCUGUUACAAUCCAUCUUUCUUAGGCCAAUCGGAAGUAUAGUCCACACAACGUCAAUUCUAUUAAAUAGAAAAGACGUGACACAAUAUGGAAUUAUCUUCUUACAUUAAACUGGGGCAGAUUUUGAGGAAAGACGUCUAACUCUUCAAUAGAAAUUGACGGCCUGCCCCCAAGUAUCAUUCAGCUUGCAUCCCAUUGUCAUGAGACAUAUAGGCAAUCCGAGUUCCCUGAGUCAAAAUAAAACCCAGUGUUAUCGAUCACAGCUCAAUGUCGGGGCAAUUUUAAAAUGAAAAAUGAAAAAUCAAAAUCAAAGUACAUUCUAACCCAUUAUAUCUUGCUUUCAAUCUCUUCUCGAACUACAAUCGUCCUGAUUUUCAGUACACUUAAGAUAUGUAGGAAACUCAGUAAGAGUUCGGCCAUACCCACAUAAAAGUCAAUUCAAACAAAUCCAUCCAUCACAUCUAGCAUCCACAUUGUAGUGUCAUCACAAUUCGACACUCGGCAAUCUUUGAAGCAAUAUCAAGGUUACACGAAUCAUUUUCAUCCUAGAACAUCUGUGUCCUUUGUCUUUCACUCAAGAGGCUACAAUCCACAAGUAACAUUCCCUCAAUUGCAUCUCAGAACUACACAUAGACUGAUUCUCGCUAAACCCGAGAUAUAUAGACAACUCAAAAAACCUGAGUUCGACUACAAUUAUCAAAAUCUCCUCUGUUACCCACUACAUUUCCUCCAUUCCUACUCCAUCAUAGUCGGAACAAAAUUGAGUAUGGUAUCAAUUUCUUUGCCCGAAGACUCUUACAUUGUCUCCAGUCAAAGAGGGGCAGUUGUUGACACUCAAUUUUAGCCUUCCAUAUUUAAAAAUUAACUUCUGCAGGUUUUCUAGUCAUUAAUAGUAAAAUAAAGCAUUUUUGUAUAUUUUAUCUUUAAUGGAAUUUAUUAAUAAUUGUGAGCACCUAAUUUUUUAUCAUACUCAAAAAUUUUAUCACUUUUAGUAUUUAAAUAUUUUUGAAGGUUAAUCUUGAUAUAUUAGCUUUUGUUUCACUUUUUAUAAGUUUUAUUUAAGAAAAUUUAAAAUCACUAGAAAAAGAUUCAUAUUUUUAGAGUGUUAGUUUUACUUCAUUUGCGUAAGAAAAAGAAAUUCACAAAAAAUAUUUACUUUUAAACUAAUAAUUUUAUAAUUAUUUUUAGUAAUUUUUAUAUCUUUUCUAGACUAGAAAUAGUUUAUUAGUAUGUUUAUCUUGGUAUCUUUAAUUUAGUUAGAGUAGUAUUUAAUUUAUUUAUUUAUUAUCCUUUCAAAAAAUCAAAAAGAAAGAGUAAGAGCCAAUCAAAAAUGGCCAACUUGCAAAGAAUCCUUCCCAUCCAACUUUGUAAUAAAUUUCGGAGAUGCACAUAUAUUUCUUGUUCCCCAAUUCACAAAUCUUAUCCAACGCACAACUCACACGCUUUGGGAUAGAGCACAAAAGGAAUGAAAGAAAAAUUCCAUCUGCUCCAUUCAAAUAAUUACAGCUCGCCAUAGCACCUCUUAGCUCCACCACAUUCCACCAUGUAAAGUUAUCUUCUCCACCUAAACUCCACAAAAUCACCAUGAAAGACCCAUAGAAACUUUUCCAUUGUUAAUGAGCUGUCAAACACCAUAGCUCCAUCUCCAUGGUCAUACACUAUUUCUAUCCAUAAAAUCAGGUUCUAUUAAUACUCAAAUGAGUAGCUCAAAAAUAACAGAAACUCCACCACAAAAAAUACUCAUAAAAACCUUGAAACAACCAUGAAAAUCAGCUGUACUACUUCCAAACAAAAAACACCAUUGAAGCACCUCCAAAACCACCUCAUUUCAGCUGCAAAACGCUGCCCAACUCCACCCCAAACCCAGCUGUAAAUAGCGCCAAACCCACCCUUCUUCCUCACCACGAAAACCAGCAAAACAAAGCUUCCUUUCCACCACCAAAUCAGCGUGAAAAUCAGCCCGGAACCACCAUUCAACCCUCAGUUGAGCUGAUGUCACGACCCAAAAUCUAACCCGUCGUGAUGGCACUUAACCCAACCUAUUAGGUAAGACAUAUAAAAAUAAAAUAUAAUAUAAUGAUAAUGAUAAGAGUAAAAAAUAAAAUAAUAAAAUUUUAUACAACUCCCCAAAUACUGGUAGUACAAGUCAUGAGCCACUAAGACUUAGAUUUUACAAAAAGAAUGAACUGAAAUAAUUACAACAUCUAUUUGGAUUGUACAUGAACAUAAUUUGAAUCUAAAGCUACCAAGGAUAAGUGAUAGCCAUAACUGGAACACGAGUACAUCUUCAAUGCCAACUCCCAUCAUACACAGCAGCAACAACUCCAAGAUAUGCAUACAAGAUGCAGAAGUGUAGGAUGAGUACAACCGACAUCAUUUACUCAAUAAGUAUCCUAACUAACCUCUGCGAGGUAAAAGAAACAAGAACUAUAGAUGAUACUCACUAACACCUGUGCGGUUCAUAAUUUCAAAUAUAUGAUCAAAUCAGAAAAUCUCAGGUAAAACCUUUGAUGCUCACAAUUCUUUGUUUUAAGGUGUUCUGCUCAGUCAACAAUCCAGCAUAUAAGGAAGAUAUGCAAGUAAAAAUCAGGUAGACAGUCAAGGAAAUUGCCAAUAAAGAUGAAAUGCAAUAACCAAAUAUCAGUCCGUUGCGGUACGUAACCCGAUCUAAUAAUAGUGACCAGCUCUCCCAGAGCUCACAUUAACCAGAAACCUGUCGGUUUCUCACAAUCCACGUGUACACCAUCAAGAGAGAAACAUGAGAGGGUGAUUAUAGGGGGAUAAAUCCUUAUCCACACGCAAGCACAUCCAAUUCAACGUGCUACCAGUCCGGCGUGGUUACAGGCUCAAUAACAUAAUUCGUCUGACGUGGUUACAUGCUCAUCAUCACAAUCUCCUGGCAUGGUCACAGGCAUAUCAACACAAUCCGCCCGGCAUGGUCACAAGCAUAACAACAUAAUUCGCUCGGUGUGGUCACAUGCAUAAUAACACAAUCUGCACGGCAUGGUCACAUGUAUAGCAAACACAAUCUGCCCGGUGUGGUCACAAGUAUAACGACACAAUCCGUCUGGUGUGGUCACAUGCAUAACAAUACAAUCCGUCCAGCAUGGUCCCAGGUAUAACAACACAAUCCGUCCGGCGUGGUCACAAGAAUCCAGUCCAAUCAUAUCACACAAGAGCAAAUAAACAAGAAUACAUGUAUGUGAUGAAUGAAUAACAAAUCUCAUGCUCCUGGAUUAGUAUAAAUGACAUGCUAAAGUGUAGGUAUGUUAUCAUAGCUCAAAUCAGCAAUUUUAUCACCGAAUAGCAUUUAUCAAGUUCAUUCAGGGAUUAAACCUCUAUGUAGCUUCAAAGACGGCUCAAAUAGUUCACACAAUAUCACAAAUAUGAGAAACAUCACAGCUUAAAUCUUAACAAUCAAUUCUAGGCUUAUCAUAGCCUAAAUACAACCCGCAUGGAUAAAUACUCUCGGUGUCAGCACAUGGGUUCAAACCCCAUGCAUCUGUGCACCCAUAGCACAUAACUAUCACAAAUAAUUCAGACAACUAGUGUCUCAACCAAGUUAAAAUAAGAUACUUACCUCAAACAAGCCAAAACAAUACCGGGCAAGACAAACAACACUCUAGAAAUGCCAUCUCGCACGUAUCAAUCUCCGAGCAGCUCGAAACUAGCUAAAAGUAACUCAAAAAUAUCAAAUAAUGCCCAAGGAAAUAAUCCCAAUCGAUAAAGAUUGAAUCUUUAAUCAAAAGCUCAAAGUCAACCAAAAGGUUAAACCCGGUCCCGCACAUCAGAACCUGACAAAACCUAAAAUAUCCGACAAUCCAUUCAAUUAUGAGUCCAACCAUACUAAUUUCACUCAAAUUCGACUCAGAACCGAUGUUCAAAACUCAAAAAUUCACUUUAGAAAAAUUUAGACAAAAAGCCUCAAUCUCUCUAUUGAAAUCAUCAAUAAAAAUCAAAAAACGAAGAUGGAAUCACGGAAUAAAAUUAAUACAGAGUAUCAAAUACUUACUCCAAUCCAUGUGGUGAAAAUCGCCUCGAUAAUCGCCUCAAUCUGAGCUCCAUAGCUAAAAAUAUGCUAAAAAGACCAAGACCUUCGAAAGAGAGUAUUUUAUACACUGUUCCAGAGGUACCCUUUGCAAUCACGGUCAUCGACCUCGCGAUCCCGAUACAAAAAAUUUCCAGCACACAUUUAUUCUUCGCGAUUGCGGCUAUUUCCCCGCGAUCGCGAUGAACAAAUUUCCAUUACCCUUCCUAAAUUUUUCUCAGACAGCCUCUAGUAUAUCAGCCAUAAUAUUUUGUACAAAACUUCAAAGGACAAAAUGUUUGAUUUUCUGAAAAUUAGACACAAAUGGCUACAACUUUUAUUUUUGGAUCAUCUCCAAAUUCCUUAUAGAUUGCAAGAUAUAAGCUUUCUAAUUCAGGUCAGUGACAGUAGAAUUUUCUUCUACGCGAUCACGAACUGGCUUCCACGAUCGCGAUUCACAAUGCCGCAAUAGCAAAUUUGCUCUUCGCAAACGCGACACAAAGUCCGCGGCCGCGAUGCAUACCCUUGUGGCCAAACACCAACAACUAAAAUUGGCCUAGAAGUGGUCCGAAAUUACCCCGAAACUCACCCGAGUACCUAGAGACCUCGUUCGAACAUACCAACAAGUUCCAAAACAUAUUAUGGACCUACUCGAGGCUUCAAAUCACACAUAAUAACAUCAAAACCACUAAUCAUUGAUCAAGAUCAAUCUCUUAAAUUCAUAAACUUCAAACUUCGAACCAAUCAUCUGAUUCAAGCCUAACCAAUCUGGAAUGAAUCCAAAUUUCGCAUACAAGUUCCAAAUGACAUAUCAAACCUAUUCCAACUCCCGGAACAACAAUCUGAACCUGAUAACUUUGAAGUCAACUCCCGGUUAAACUUAUGAAUAUUCCAAAUCUUCAAACUUCUAACUUUCACCAAAUAGUGUCGAAACCUCCUAGAAUCACCCAAAUGCAAAUAUGGUCAUAUGCCCAAGUCAAAAUCGCCAUCCGGGCCUCACAGAACCAUCAAAACUCCAUUAUGGGGUCAAAUACGCAAAAGUCAAACUUGGUCAACUCUUCCAACUUAAAGCUUCAAAUAUGAAAUUCAUUCUUUCAAAUUAAUUCUGAAUCCCCCGACAACUGAAAUCAACGAUACAUACAAGUCAUAAUACGUCUUACAUAGCUACUUAUGCCCUCAAACCACCGAGCAAAGUGCAAAUGCUCAAAACGACCGAUUGGGUCGUUACAUUCUCCCACACUUAAACAUACGUUUGUCCUCGAACAUGCCAAGAGUCGUUCCAAAGCCAUCAAAUCGCCGUGUAACUCACCUUAUACAUACCCUGGGUGAUCCCACAUCACCCCAAUCCAUGUAAGCCUAACAACAUAAUAUAACUGAAGAUCGUUACUUCAACCUUAUUUCGUAAACUUUAGAACCCAAUUUCCAACAUCUAGAAUCCAUUACCAUACCCGAAUCUCGCGUCUAUACCAUGUAUAAGUCUGAACAAGCUGUAUAAAGCCAUAACCAUAACCCAAGAUGAAAUCACAUGAUAUAACACAUAACUCGCAUACUCGUAGCAAUAAUUUCCAAUCACAGUAGUUGUUUAAAAAUAAACUCGGUACCGGUAAUGAACCUCAUAUCAAAUAAAAACCUUAUUCUAAACCUUCGUACAAUGCCAAUGAUGAAUGAAACGCGCAGAAACUCAUAACCAGUCAUCAUAUCAACAAGUCAUGGAGCUCUCUCGCCUUACCAAAAUCAUAGUCUGAAUUCUAAGCUGACUUCUAAUAUUGCUCUUCCAAACACACCGUAAUCAAAUUUGAUAGCAAUCACUUCAGGCCCAAAGACUUUAUCUCAUCAAAUACAAGCUACUCUACUGACAUGCCACACCAAUACUACCUAGAGCCACAACUGUGCAAUCCGUGCACCAAUAAGCAAUAAUUCAAAUGUAUUCAAACAUAAAAAAUGACUCAAAUGAUAGAACCGUCUCGCAAGUUCAACAUAUACCGCCACAAGCGUAAUGCUACGAACCCAUCACACAUAGUAGAACCAAGACACACGGGUCUAACACAAAGGAUCAUAGCCAAUCAUAACUCCGCUGCAAUGUGUGACCCUAUCCAAACACCGGUCCAUAUGAAAUACCUCAAACCACAAUGCUCUAAAAAAGCAAAAACCAUACGUAAUUCGACAUCAAGUACACGAAGUGCAUGACUAUAACCAUGGAGAAACGAAUAGCACCAUAUACCACAAACAUGAAAGACAUAACCAAGGCGCAAUCAACUAUUCAACACCCCAAUAACAAUCUCGCUCGAAUUUCGCUAUAAGACCCAGACAGAAGCGCAUCUAGUGUAUAAUUAGCCAGCAGAUCACCAUCCAUCGUAGCAUAGAAGAGUAACACAUAGAACAUAUCAAAACAUGAACAAGCUCAACCCUAACCGAAUAACUCACCCCUCAACACUAAUCGUGCUAAGUCAGCAAAUCCGACCUGGUGUAGAAUACACAUCCUCAUUGGGCCUACCAAUUGACCCCCAAAUCAACUCCGGGCAUCCCUAUAUAGAUAAAUAACCCUCCAAAAGUCCACAAUGACCUAACCAUAACACAUACUAUUAGCUAUCUAACUUUGGCCAUACCUUCACACUCCGCAACCAAGGAACAAUUUACCUCUGAGAACUCCCAGUCUCCAAAUCCACAGAACACAUGAAUCACCAUAUACGAUCUCAACUCCACCACUCUAAUGAUUAACAUAUCUCUCAUACACAAUCAUCCCACGAAAAAUACUUCUAUAUUUCCCCAAGCCACAUGGAAAAAUCUGAAUAUCAGUUGUCGAUCAACCAGGCGAGUACCACAAUACCAAUGAAGUAUCUAUACGUCAAAAUAUAGUGCGCCUUCCGAAAUGCACGCCCUUCUCAAUAAUACCAAGUAGUACUAGCAUUCAUCUAAACAUAUGGAAUCGUCUAUGAUGUCUAAGAAUUCAUGACCUUCCCUUCAAAACUGAACCGUGACGUUUCACAUGCAAAUCUCAAUCCCACACGACGCACUGCAUCUAUCAUGCCAUCAUAUGAAAACAUGAUAACCACAUUAUCGACCCUGAGUCACAAGUAGAAUACAUACUCAAUUAUCUAGAAACAUUCUACUUGAUCCCAUCCAGGAGAAAUUUAGAGUAUGCAACAUACUCCUCAUGCCGGUAGAAAAUAUCCAUCUCAAACCGUUGUAGAAACCAUCGAGAACUCUUCGAAAUUUAUUUUUCCAUAAUCAAGCCAUCAGAACUGAAUUUCUCUAACUCAACCAAGCCACGUAGGUCGCCAAGCCUAAGAAUAUUGCCAGAAAACACAUGUAAAGAUUCACUACAUCAUUAGAACUAAAAGAAUCGAUCAUACCCAUUACCAUGCUGAUCCAAUCUACCACCAAGAUGUCCUAUUUCUCCGAGUUCCUUUUGAAUUGGCUUCAAGUUAACACUUCUCCUUGCUCACACACUACAACCAUUAACCUGACGCUUACCACGAGAUAUCCUAGCAUAAAGCCACACAACCCUAAGGCCUAUAAGUUGUUGUAUUCUCUCUUAAGCACCACAAAAGCACAACAACCGGGACACUCACUCUGAAGAGACCUUCUGUAAAUUUAAAGUUGUUCCUUUUACCUUUCUGAAACUGAAAUGUAGAACCCAUAAUGAUACAGAAAUAUGCAAGUCCCGCCACCAUCUAAUGCAAAUCUCAGAUCUUAGCCCUAUACAAAUUUAGAAAAAUUCUCAAUUGCCUCAUAUAAAUCUUGAAUCUAUUAGAACUUUCUCAAGAGUCAUCCAGUCUGCUCAAAUCUUAAUUGCACCGUCCAAACGGGCCGAACGAUCUGCGCCCUAUUAGCACAAUAACACCCAAAGAAGUAAUCCACACCUCUAAGAAACCGAGUGAAUCCUUUUUCUUAGUACAUUACAUCCAUCACGAACAACAACCCUAUACCAUUUCCAAGACAUCCAUAUAUCCAUAAGGUGUAAUACAUCAUGUAUCCAGAAAUCCCUUACUCAAGUCAUCCUCAAAACCAACCUCUGCAAGCCUUAUUCGAUCUACAAGUAUGCCUCAAACCGAAACCAAUACAACACAUAACCAUGCAAUCAAAUCGCCGAUGGUAGACUCCCCCACUUGGCUCAAAACCAUCGAAUAAAACAUCUGAUAACUCAUAAUACCCAAACUCUAUUACUACCAUAAUCCCGCUGUGAGAUUUAACUAAAUCUUUCACAAGCUCCUGCAACACAACCCAUAAAAUCAUCUGUUAAGCUCGCAUUCAUCCUCGUAACAGUUAGGUCAACUUUCACUUCUAAUCCAAAUUCAAAUCAUAACACAUAUAACCCACUGGUAGAAAGAAACUCUCCACACAACAUCAUAAGGAUCACACAUCUGUAGAUUACCCUACAUGUGAUAACCCGCCUGCCUAGCCUCAGACUGACAUCUCCUUAUACCCUUUCACAACCGCAAUUACCAGGCAAUCACUUAAUUAUCUUGAGUCUAAACUCAUCCACAAGACAUGCGAAUAUACUUAGUUCCACAGAUAAAAAAAAUGAAUAUUCCCUCAUCACAAUUAUAACUCGAGACUGUAUAACACAUCCACAGAAAUCGAGAAUUCAAUAAUCCUUUCCACAUCCCCAGCAAACUCUUCUUGCCACAUCCAAACCAUCUGAACGCAUACCGCAAUCACGUCAUACUCAUCACAUAGCCAUCCAACCACUCACCGAGCAUGUGCUCACUGUCACGCCCCAAACUCAGGGAGCACGACCGGUGCUCAACCGAGUGAACCCGGUCGAGCAAGCCUGUUAGAUUUCCUUCUACCCAAACUCAUCCAUGAAUAAAGAGGAGAUGCACUCCAUUAAUCAAACACUUAAAAAAAUUCACUAAAAACUCCCAUUUCAUAUCCAUUAGCAACUUCAUUCAUAAUUUCCAAAAUAUUACAAGUUUAUAGAUAUAAUGAAAAAUAUAUUUGCCAAAUACCAACAUUUCUGGUUUAAUUCCCCACAUUAAACACCACCCAAGACUUGUCUAUGGAGCCUCUAAGUACAAUAGAAAAGUAAUAUGGAAAUGUCGGCAACAAGGCCCCGGCUAUACCUCAAAACACAAAGUACAACAUUAAAUGAUAUCAGGCCCGGAAUAGAGUAGGGAUCACCAAAACCUGCUAAACAGGGAGUAACUGCUAACGAGGACCAAAGUUGCCCGCUGAUGAACCACCUACAUCCAUUGAAGAUGCAGCGCCACCGGCAAAGGGACGUUAGUACAUAUGGAAUAGUACUAGUAUGUAAAGCUAACUGUCCUCUUUCAAAAUAGAAUGCCAAUAUAAGAAAGAGAAAACCAUAGAAACACCAAAUCACAAUCAACAAAUAUCCAAAUGUCCAGUUAAAACAUAACAAUUUUCAAAAUACGAAAUUAAUAUAUAUUAUUGGUUAGGAGAUCAUUAGCGCCGAUAUACCACCGUGUUUGUAGUACGGAGUCCGAUCACGCCCGAUCGGCUAGGCCAUCUCCCCACGAACAACCUGGUUCGACAUGUGAUGUGAAAGAAAAGUGUUACCAAGAGUAGUACCACCAUGUGCUGAACAUGGCGUCCGAUCUCCACCCGAUCAGUUAGGCCGCCUUCCCACAUAUGUCGUGUGGGUUGACUUUUCCAAUCAACAAUUUUUACCAGUUUCAUCCCAAUUAAGGGGAAUAAUAUCAACCCAUCAUUCUCAUCCCAAAUAAAGGCAAAAAUCACAAUUCACUCCUACACCGGCACGUGUAGUUUUAGGUGUGGGUUGUUACAACACACCCUUCCUCGGUUUGCUAAUGAUACUUUCCAAAAAUAUUAUUUUUGUUUUUGCACACAAAGGUAACAUAGGUACAAAUGUAUUUACCUCAUCAUCUUUCACAUUGUAUAAAUGUUCACUAGUAUUUUCAACCAUUUACAACAACAGUAUUUCCUUGGCUCUUUUGGCUAUUCACAAGAUUCUUUAUUCAAGGCACGGUGGCCGUAUUUCAGCUCCACACUUUCCUAUAUUUCCUCUCAUGGAUCAUCAUCACAAGUAUCAACAAUUAUAAUAUUCCGGAAACCGCAACUUUAAGUUCAUUAGAAACGGAGGCUUUAAAUACAAUAGAUUUCUUUCCAAGAAAUGGAGUAAAAUGAUUGGCAAUCGAAGCACAAGUUAAAAUCAUAAACAAGUAGCAUGCCAUUUAUUCUUGAAAUACUUUUCCCCCGCAAACAGGGCAAUACACAAUUCUCACUCACGAAUAUGUAAGAACGCAAAACACAUUGAAAAUACUUACAAAGCAUAGCAUUAUUUAAAACAACCACAUAUGGGCAUGACUUGAGUACAUAAGCUUUUAGGAAAUUCUUUUUCUUGAAAUAAUUUUGGAACAAUUGAAUCAAAUCCUAUUUCAUAAUCUUUCUCGCAUCAUCUGAUUUCAUUGGCACCACUAGCCACAAGUAUAACUUUCAUUCUUGGCACGUUAGCCCAAUUCACUUAUUUCAUUUUCAAGCAUCAUUAUAGAUUAUCAACAACAAGAUAUUUCCAAUCAAGACUUUAGGUACACAUAUGGGCAAUUAAGAGUCUUUGGCAUAUCGAGUUUUUCUCACAUAAUUUGACAUACUAGCUUUUAUUUGAAACACAACACAAAGGCAUAACAUUUUAAUACGCAAUCAACACUUUGAACAUAUAUAUUUCGACAUAAGGCUCAUUCGGAAUAGUCAAGUUUAUAAGGGAUAACCCGGAACAUACGAAUUAGGAACUUAAUCCAAUAAUACUUGAAACUUAGGGGGAACAUUAUGGAGUUCGAUCGUAAGAGAGUAAUUUAGUCAACAUACCUCGCUUUGAGCUUUCUUUAAAUUACUACAACGUUCCAAAAAUCCUAGCAAUCCCAAUCUAUUUUGAGACAUAACAAAAUUGAACACAAAUUAGGAAGAUAUUCAUGGUUUCAGCUCAUUUGAGCAUUUUAUCAAAUACUAAGUGUGCAAAUUUAACUACAAGGUUCUUCUAUAAGAUUUCCUUCACUCCACAACCCAAUCCUUACUUAUUUGAGCUCAACAAUCUUUCCACAAACCUUAUCAGUACAUGCAUGUAUAAAUAAUACUCUUAUACCCAAGAAUCAUACUCCCAAUCACCCAUCUUUUACCCCAAGCUUGAAAUUGAAGAAUUGGGAAAAUAAAUUCUUACCUCUUUGAAGCCCUACCAAGAUCCUUGUGAAAUCUUCAAGCCUUAAGCAAGAAUUAAUGAACAAAUGGCUAGUUUUUCUCUUUUUCUCUCUAAGAUACUCUUACCUCACUCUAAAAUAUCAGAUGAAACCCUUAAAAAUGACCCCCAAAGCCUUUUUUAUGAAAAAUGGGAUCGGGUAAAAUUUCCAAAACUUAAACUUGCCGAAAUCGGGUAUGCAAUCGCAGACCGUACCGCAGAAUCAUUAUGCGGCCCGCAUAAUGGGUCGCGAAAAGGCCCUCCGAAACUGGGCAACACUGUUUCAGUCUACGGUCGUUAUGUGGUUCGCACACAUGUUCUGCGGUCGCAUAAUGCACCGCAGAAUUAGUCUGCGGUCGCAUAAUGCGCCGCAGACCUUCCUCCAAACUUGCCCCCACCUCUGAUGUACUAUGCGGCCAUUAUGCGGUCCGUAGAGUGAUUCUGCGACCGCAUAGUGGGCCGUAGAAAUGUCUUCUUCUGCCGAAAAUUUUUCUUUACUCCCCAAUACAUUGUUCAACCCAAAAGGUCCGAGUCGUUCCUACAAUCCUCAAACAUGUAAGCCUACUUUGGUACCACAAAACAUUAAAUUCCUUUACGAAAUUUUUACGGGGCCUUACACUCACAAAACUGAAACUACCGCCUAAGCUGCAGUCUAAAUCUGGCCUCAGGUCCUCUAGACUGGCCCAUCACCAAAACACAGAAAAUUCAUCUCGCACCUCAUAUAUGGAAUCACAGGCCGUCGAUGCACAGCUGAUACCGAGUGCUCACUUAUGUAUAUGAGUGAGUGGAAGGAAUUCAAAGAGAUACACUUCUAGUCGAAUCAAUGACGCACGAUAAGGAAUGAAAGAUGGGAGGUUUAUCCUAGAUGCCCUGUAGCCUCUCAGCGAUAGGUAUGGGCGUCAUCAUGUCAAUCCGCAAGACUCUACUAGACAUUUGCUCAUGACUCGUAGAACCUAUGAACCUAGGAUUCUGAUACCAAUUUGUCACGACCCAAAAUCUAACCCAUCGUGAUAGGACCUAACCCAACCUGCAAGGUAAGCCAAAUAAUAACAAAAAUGAUAUUGAUAAGAGUAAAAAAUGAAAUAAUUGAACUUUAUACAACUCCCCAAGGACUGGUAGUACAAGUCAUGAGCCAUUAAGCCUUAGACUUUACAAAAUAAACUGAACUAAAAUAAUUACAACAUCUGUUUAGAUUGUACAUGAAUAGAAUUUGAAUCUAAAUCUACCAAGGACGAGUGAUAGCCAUAACUAGAAUAGGGGUACAUCUUCAAUGCCAGCUCCCACCAUACAGAGCAGCAACAACUCCAAAAUCUGCAUGCAAAGUGCAGAAGUGUAGUAUGAGUACAACCGACUCCAUGUACUCAAUAAGUAUCCUAACUAAUUUCGGUGAGGUAAAAGAAGCAAGAACUAUAGAUAAUACUCACUAACAUCUGUGCAGUUCAUAAUUUCAACAAGUAUAGAACAGAUAUAUGAUAAAAUUAGGAAAUCUAAGGUAAAACCACUUUGAUGCUCACAAUUCUUUGUUUUAAAGAGUUAUGCUCAGUCAACAAUCCAGCAUAUAAGAAAGAUAUGCAAGUAAAAAUCAGGUAGACAGUCAAGAAAAAUACAAGUAAAGAUGAAAUGCAAUAACCAAAUAUCAGUCCGUUGCGGCGCGCAACCUGAUCCAAUAAUAGUGACCAGCUCUCCUAGAGCUCACAUCAACCAGAAACCCGUCGGUUUUUCACAAUCUACAUGUACACCAUCAAAAGAGAAAUAUGAGAGGGUAACCUAGGGGAUGGGUCCUUAUCCACACGCAAGCACAGCCAAUUCAACGUGCUACCAGCCCGGGUGGUCACAGGCUCAUCAUCAAAAUUCGCCAGGCGUGGUCACAUGCAUAUCAACAUUAUCCGCCCGGCGUGGUCACAGGCAUAACAACACAAUCCGCCCGGCAUUGUCACAUGCAUAACAACACAAUCUGCCAGGCAUGGUCAGAAGGAUAGCAACACAAUCUUCUCGGUAUGGUCACAAGCAUAACAAUACAAUUCGUCCCGCGUGGUCACAAGCAUCCAGUCCAAUCAUAUCACAUAUGACCAAAUAAACAAGAAUACAUGUAUGUGAUGAAUGAAUAACAAAUCUCAAGCUCCUGAACUGGUAUAAAUGACAUGCUAAAGUGUAGGCAUGUGCAAAGUGUGUUAUCAUAGCUCAAAUCGGCAAUUUCAUCACCGAAUAGCAUUUAUCAAGUUCAUUCAUGGAUUAAACCUCUAUGUAACCUCAAACACGGCUCAAAUAGUUCACAUAAUGUUACAAAUAUGAGAAACAUUAUAGCUUAAAGCUUAACAGUCAAUUCUUGGCUUAUCAUAUCCUAAACACAACCCGAGCAUGGAUAAAUAACACCGGUGUCAGCACAUGGGUUCAAACCCCACGCAUGUGUGCGCCCAUAACACGUAGCUAUCAAAAAUAAUUCAGGCAACUAGUGCCUCAACCAAGUUAAAAUAAGAUACUUACCUCAAACAAGACAAAACAAUACCGAGCAAGCCAAACAAUACUCUAGAAAUGCCAUCCCGCACGUAUCAACCUCCAAGCGGCUCGAAACUAGCCAAAAGUAACUCAAAAACAUCAAAUAAUUCCUAAGGAAACAAUCUCAAUCGAUAAAAGAUUUAAUCUUUAAUCAAAAGCCCAAAGUCACCAAAAAGUCAAACCCGAGCCCGCACCUCGGAACUCGAUAAAACCCAUAAAAUCCGAUAACCCAUUCAAUUACGUGCCCCAACAACAAAAUUGCUCUUCGCGAACGCGACCAAAAGCCUGCGAUCACGAUGCAUACCCCUGUGGCAAAUUACUAACAACUAAAAAUGGCCUACAAGUGGUCUGAAACCACCCUGAAACUCACCCGAGCCCCUCGGGACCCCGUCCGAACAUUCCAACAAGUCCCAAAACAUAUUAAGGACCUACUCGAAGCCUCAAAUCACACACAAUAAUAUCAAAACCACGAAUCGUCGAUCAAGAUCAAUAUCAUAAGUUCACAAACAUCAAACUUCGAACGAAGCGUCCGGUUCAAGCCUAACCAAUCUGGAAUGAAUCCAAAUUUCGCAUACAAGUUUCAAAUGGCAUAUCGAACCUAUUCCAACUCCUAGAACAACAAUCCGAACUCGAUAACAUCGAAGUCAACUCCCGGUCAAACUUAUGAACAUUCCAAACAUUCAAAUUUCUAACUUUCGUCAAAUAGUGUUGAAACCUUCUAGAAGCACUCAAAUGCAAAUCCGAGAAAACGCCCAAGUCCAAAAUCGCCAUCCGGACCUAACAGAAUCAUCAAAACUCCGUUACGGGGUCAAAUACACAAAAGUCAAAGUUGGUCAAUUCUUCCAACUUAAAGCUUCAAACAUGAAAUUCAUUCUUCCAAAAUAAUUUCGAAUCACCCAAAAACCGAAACCAACGAUACACACAAGUCAUAAUACAUCAUACGGAGCUACUCAUGCCCUAAAACCAACGAGCGAAGUACAAAUACUCAAAACGACCGGUCAGAUCGUUACAGCUGAGUACGUUCGAGGUCGCCCAUUCUGGUUCGAGUUUCUGAUUCAAAGCUUGCAUGUGGCUGACUGUUUUAUAGCUUUUCCGUCACUGUAAACGUUGGAAAAUUUCAGCAAUAAAAGAUCCAUUUCUCAUUUUAUUUAUUUUAGUUCAUUCUCGUUAGUCCAGGCGAAUACUUAAUCGUUUUGUUUCAUUCUGUGUUAGCAUACUUUUUAUUCGUUUUCUUAAUUGGAUAAUCCAUGUUCUGAAUAUAUUUCUUUAGAGGGUCAGAAUUUUAUUGAAUAUUGCCCGAAUCUUUUGUGUUUCUAUUUGAGCAUGUGUCUUUAAGAUAAGUUUUUAUUUUAUCAUUAAUUUAUUUUGUGGAACUUUGGAGAAGAAAGCUGUAAAAAUUAAUGAGCAAACUUCAUUUAUGACAGUUCGGCACUAAAUUAAGACAAUCGCUAGCCUAUUGAAUUUGAUUGUAAGUUAUAGCCAAAAACUUAUUACAUUGGCUACACACACAAAAAAUGCGCUGACCCAUUUGAUCAACUCUUCAAGUUGCAAAGUAGAGUUUUUAAUCUAUUCUGAUCUACUACUCUUCAUUAUUUCUCCACCAUAAAUUGUUAAAUUUUUAAAAAUAAAUCAAUUUUCUUAUUUAACUCCAUUUGAUUUGCAGGAUUUAGUAGACAGCUGAAAGCUAUUACAAAGUCAAUAUCACUUCUUUUUUAAUAACUGAAGAAAUGAAGAAAUGAAAUGAAAAUUUCAUAUAACUAAAACCAAAAGCACCAACUUACGGUGAAAUGAGCAAGUUUUAAUUUCUCUCUCUCUCUCUCUCUCCUUUUUUCUUCUAAAGGCUUCGUUUUUAUAUUUCUCUAAUCUAAAUAAGUGUCAUAUUUUGCUUUUUAAGGUCAAGUUGGACCCAUUUGAAUCAGUCUCCUGUUUUAUGAAUAAAAAUUAAAAAGGUGUAAAAUACCCUUUAAAUAUUCAUCAGAGAGAUACCCAAUUUUUCAUAUUACGAAUAAUGAGUUCCUUAAAUUUACUAACACUUACAAUUAGCAGAAAAAAAUUUAUGCUUGUUUAAUAGAAACUAAAAAAUAGCAAAAAAUUUAAAUAAAUAAAAAAAUUAUUAGAGUAACAUGAGUCUUGUGAGUUGUGAUUCAAUAGAAUUACUUUAAUCUUUUUGUGAGGUGGACCUAUUAUUUUUGUUCAUUACCUGUUCUUUGGUUUUUGUUUUAAUAGAAAUGUCAGNNNNNNNNNNNNNNNNNNNNNNNNNNNNNNNNNNNNNNNNNNNNNNNNNNNNNNNNNNNNNNNNNNNNNNNNNNNNNNNNNNNNNNNNNNNNNNNNNNNNNNNNNNNNNNNNNNNNNNNNNNNNNNNNNNNNNNNNNNNNNNNNNNNNNNNNNNNNNNNNNNNNNNNNNNNNNNNNNNNNNNNNNNNNNNNNNNNNNNNNNNNNNNNNNNNNNNNNNNNNNNNNNNNNNNNNNNNNNNNNNNNNNNNNNNNNNNNNNNNNNNNNNNNNNNNNNNNNNNNNNNNNNNNNNNNNNNNNNNNNNNNNNNNNNNNNNNNNNNNNNNNNNNNNNNNNNNNNNNNNNNNNNNNNNNNNNNNNNNNNNNNNNNNNNNNNNNNNNNNNNNNNNNNNNNNNNNNNNNNNNNNNNNNNNNNNNNNNNNNNNNNNNNNNNNNNNNNNNNNNNNNNNNNNNNNNNNNNNNNNNNNNNNNNNNNNNNNNNNNNNNNNNNNNNNNNNNNNNNNNNNNNNNNNNNNNNNNNNNNNNNNNNNNNNNNNNNNNNNNNNNNNNNNNNNNNNNNNNNAAUACGCCAGCAUGCUUUAGAUGUGUCGUAAUAAUUUAUAACCAUGGCUAUGUAUACGUUCGUGCGAUAUAGUUAUGAUCCAUAAAUUAAAGGGCAAAGCACGCGUUCGCGCGGCUCGAUUAAAAUCCUAAAAAUAAUGAUAAUGCGCCUUUAAUCAUGUACACGUAUGCGUGCCAUGAUUUUGGCGCACGAACAAGAUAAGUAUACUUAUGCGUGACUUGUUUCAAGAUAAUUCCCAUAAUUUGAUAAUGAAGCAAAUAAAAGCGAAAAUGCAUAAAAUCCUUAAAACAUGUAAUAUCCGGAAUUAAUUUAGCCAAGUGUAAAUUAUUAAGCGACCGUAAUAGAACCACAGGACUCGGGGAGUGCCUCAUACCUUCUUUUCGGUCAACAGAAUUCUUUAUCUGAUCUUCUGUGUUCGCGGACCAUAAAUGGAGUCAAUACUUUCCUUGAAUUGGGAUUUUAUAAAUGGUAACUUGGAACACUGGAAAUAAAUAAUUUCAAAUGGCGGCUCCUAAAUUAAAUAAAAUGAAUCACUUUUCAAAUAAUGUCACUUUAAUUGAAAAAAUCCUUUUCACAAUCUCCGAAAAAAAUGAAGUGUGACAGAUCUGGUGACUAUACUGGGGACAAAGUCAGAAUCUCUGGUUCAGGAUACAGAAUUCUAGCUUGGAGUGUUAUUUUAUACUUGGCUUUUAUUGAUUUGAUGUUAUUAUGUGUUUUGGGCCUAAUGUGCUAACUGCAACUCAUUUACAACUUUGAUAUUACUUGAACUAUAAAAACUAUCUUCUCUCGCUUCCCCCUCUGAGUCUUCUGAAUCUAUUGGUGCACACGUGCGCGUGGCUCACUUUCUGUUAGAAGUCAUAAUAGCCAACAACAGCCCAACCAACAUCAACAAUACUCAUAAUAAGCCUUUCAAAAUAGUUUAACAAUCUCGACGAGCGGCAAGCUCGGUUUACGAUCAACAAAAUAGAGUUUGAAUCUAAUUUCUUCUUCGUGAGUCUGCUUACAAUAUAAAUAAUAUUAUACUUAUCUUUAGCACAUCAUUUUCAGCCCAAAACAUCAUAAAAAUAAUAUUUAAAAUAGUCCACACGCCUAGCACCUUAACUUUUAUCGUAAAUCACUUGUUUUUUUACGUUUUCUUCUUUAAUCAACUUAAUAACACCUAGAAAAGCUUAAUAACAACAAUCAUAAUAUUAGCAAAUUAUUUCUCAAAAUUUUUAUCCACCACAAACCAUAUAUGUAGCUACAAAAUGGUCCAACAAAAAGAUAACCAUGUCUCAUAUUCUUUCAAGUGCUAUCUUAUGGUUUUUCACUCAAACAAUACAACCAACACAAGAUUAAUCUUAGGCACAAUCAAGAAGAUGCUACAAAUCAAAACCUCAUCACAAAUUAGCGCACAAUAGCCCUCAAUCAUACCACAAUAUUAUAGAAGCAUUCUCUUGUAAUCUUUAACAGUUUUAAUAAUGAUUUGAGUUGAUUUUCUUUAAGUUUGGUUCUUGAAUCUUGGAGAUACGUGAGAGAGGAUUUUGAAGAGCUUAUAGACGAAGUUUGGGUGAGAAAUGACCAGAAGUGAGGCUGAAACGUCUUUUGAAAGAAUUAAAGUUGGCAGCCGCCUGAAGUGGGUCCCAACAGGGAUGCCUACGUAAUUUCACAAAAAUACGAAUAUCUAUCUACUCAAAUGUCGUAUUGAUGAACGUCUUAAUACGUUAGAAACUAGACUCGUAGAUCUUCAAUUUUCUGGAUAGAUCACCUCGUAACUCUAAGUAUAUUUGGAUAAAAGAUCAGUGACAUUAGAACCAAAUUUCAAUAUAAUUUAUGAAUGUAACUUGUAACGACUUUUGUCGACUUUUAUUUCACCACUCGUUUGACUUCAAAAUUUAACACACAACUAUCAUACGACUAAAAAUACCUCAUAAAAUCACCUUCUUAUCAUGUUAAGUACCCUAUUCUCACCCCAAAAGUACGGUUUAUAAUAUUCCCAACUUGCUGACUUUCGGCGAAACUUAUUUUUUUCGAUUCGUUUAGCUUCUAAACCUUCCAAUACUUUUGGUACUUGCAGUUCAUGAUCUUAAAUAUUUGUAACCUCCAAGGUAACAUGAUUAACUUGCUUUAUGUACUUUUAAAGAUGAUCGCAUUUCUGAGCUUACAUCAAUUGACUUACGAUGUACUUUUACGUACAAACCACAAGGUGUAACAUCAUUCCCUCGUUUGGAACAUUCGUCCUCGAAAAUUGGCUGAUGCGCUUAUCAGUCUCAUAACCUACAGCUCUUAAGAAUACUUUAAUAAUGUCCUUGCCUUCUAGGCAACUAUUCUAUGAAUAAAUCCAAAGGCAAGGGCAUUCCCCCCUUUAGGCCUCUUUCUCACACCACGACCUAUGGUCGGAAUUCUUCCAAUCUCGUAUUGUUGCUACCUUCUCUCAUGCAGCAUGUACAACUCUGUCCUUGUACAUGCGCCUAUGCGACUCUUCUCUCUUUUUUCCUCCAACUUUUAGCUAAUCUCUAGGCCUCACUUUGUGAACAUAUAUACAGAACUAUGACAAAUUGUCCCUUUGGACAUCUAUAGGUAUACUGAAGUUCUUUACUUGGUACUUUUUCGAAGUUAUGACUAUUGCUAUAUUUUAUUUCAUAGCCUCGGUUAUCUAUCAUUAUGGCUUUACUGUAUCUAGGUAGGUCAUACUAUACCAUAACACUUACUUCAGUUUAUUAUUACCAAGGUCUGCUACAUAACUCCAGGUUACUCUCUCGCUUCUUAUCCUAUAUAUAUAAAUCUAAGUCCUUUAAUGCUUCCUCAUUACUGCUCAUCUUAAGAAUAAAAGCCUAAUCACAUUUCAUACUUUGCAACUUUUAUCCAUCUAUUAUUGAUUUACCUUAAUGUUGAUCUAUAAUCUACCACUGAUAACUUGAAACCUCUUACGUAAUACAUUGUUACUAGGGCUCACGUCUCAUCGGGGAACAUCUAAAGUUAUUUGCCUUAUCCACAUAGGGAUAAUACUAUACUUUAAUAAUCAUAUUUCAUAGCAUUUCAACGUGAUUCAUCUUAUGGAGGGUAUUCUAAUCUUGUACAAUUCAUGAAAUUCCUUCUCUUUGAAUCAUUACUCAAUUAAAGACCUAAACAUCAUCCUCUUAUCAUUUAUCACAAUUACUCUCUUAUUCUACUAUCAGGGCAAUAUUCUAUCUCUUCUAAAUGCUCCUAGUCUUAAACUCCUCCAAGUUCAUUCAAGCGAUAUUGAGCUUUCUAUAACUUACAGAAACCAUCAGCUUUCUUGUUUUGAUGGGAUUAAUCUCGAGGCCUUACCUAUUCUCGUCAUAUUUUCACUCACCUUUUAUUAUCCUUACUCCUGUCUACCUAAAACUUAUCAUUCUACCAUACUUUAGUUUGCAAUCUACAUAUAUCUAUUUUUACUACUCGGAACCUUCCUUUAACUUGCUAGCACCGUAAAUUUCCUUAUGUUAUUUUGGAACCUCAAGCAAGAAAUCAUGUUGUCUCUAACUCUUCUUUUCUCUCUUAACUAGACCUCUCUGUACCUAGAAACAAUAUGCUGGAAGAUAUGCUACUGACGACACCACUAUUAUUUAUGGAUACUGAAUCACGACGCUUCUAGCCCUCUAUCUGAAGCCUGGACUAUUCACAACCUUAUGCACUCACAUCGUAUCUUCUAUCGCUUUCAUAACCUCCCUUCUACAUAGGUGGAAUUCACAUCCACACCUUAAAGCUCUAAUAUAAUACUUGUACCUCUGGUUUAUACACAAUCCGGCGGGAGCUUCAUACCGACUUCUUAUGACUCAGCUCCAUGGCACGAUCUGAAAACGAAAGAAUGGUAGCAUUUGCUAAAUGCCCUAUAGCCUCUCAAUUAUAAGUGUGGCGUGAAACACACCCAUAAGUAAGAUUUUACUAGAUACAGCUUUGUAGACUCCCUAGGACACGACCUGCUCUUAUGCCACUUUUUCACUACCCCAACCUAGGUGAGGUGGAUAGGCACCCACUGCCUCAUUUGCAUGGAGACUCAUUCUGUACGGUUACUGAUUUACUUAAACUCGAUCACCUACAUGCAUAAAAGUCACAAAAGACACACACACACACACACACACACACACACANNNNNNNNNNNNNNNNNNNNNNNNNNNNNNNNNNNNNNNNNNNNNNNNNNNNNNNNNNNNNNNNNNNNNNNNNNNNNNNNNNNNNNNNNNNNNNNNNNNNNNNNNNNNNNNNNNNNNNNNNNNNNNNNNNNNNNNNNNNNNNNNNNNNNNNNNNNNNNNNNNNNNNNNNNNNNNNNNNNNNNNNNNNNNNNNNNNNNNNNNNNNNNNNNNNNNNNNNNNNNNNNACCUAACCAUAACCCAUGGUUUGACCACCAAAGAUCCCCAACCUACCCAUACGUAUAUAUAUAUACAUAUGACAGUCUGAUAACCCCUAGACUCGGCUCUACUCCGGAUAAAAUGGAGCUUGAUCAAUGCUCAGUUGGAUAUCAACUUCGUCGAUGAUAAGAGCCUGUCAAACUGGAUACCUGAACAUGCAGGCAUAGAUGCAGUGCCCCAACGAUAAGACAUCAGUUCAAAGAAAUGUACUAAGUAUGUAAGGUAGAUGACAUAUAAAUAACUGAAUUAAAACUAAACUGGCAUAUGUAUAUGAUAUAAUGAAAGUAAUUUGGAGGGUUAAUGAAAUCCGGGAAUCAUACUUACUUUAUCUUGACUCGUAACAUAUCAAUAGUAUUGAAUUAUCUAACUUACCUUACAAAGGAUUUAGACUGAAAAUGGAAGGAUCCAUUGGCCGAGAACAUCUAAUGUCACGACAGUCGUAUAUACAUCUAAUUCGUUUCAUGAUGUACCUGAACUUGUUCCCAUAUGCUAUCUAUACUAGAAACCAUCAUAUUAUGGAACUUCAUCUAUUACAUUCUUCUAGCCAUCAUACCUUAUAUCUGAAUACUUACCUCUGACAAAUCAAACAUCACUAGGGCACCACUAAAACCACCAAAAUGACGAGGCCUCUUAUCAAACACCGACCCCCUCUCCUGAGCACAAAUCAUCUCGAUCCGUCUAGCAAUAUCUACGGCCAUUUGGAAAGAAAUAUCACUCCCGGUGUAACGACCCGGCCGAUCGUUUUGAGAGUUGUAAAUACGUUCCCCUAUUUACAUUGGAUGGUGUCGAGGCUCGUGGUAUUUCUAUAUCAUUAUGGAUUAUGCAUUUCAUUAACAGGAAGACUAAGUGGUAGAGGAAACGGCCCUAGACUCGCAGAAUGUCUCAUCAGAGUGGGUUCCUCGGUUGUGGUACUUUGGCGUGCUAAGAGGAAAUGCAGCAGCAUAUGGGCCUUUAGGCGGUGUGGUUUGUAUGCUAGAAUCUCUUAUGGCGAGCUUUGGGGUAAGGAUCAUGGUGUUCUUGCAAGAAUGGGUAUCAACUUGAGGGUAAAUUGGAAUGAACUCGGAAGAAAUAGGGUAGUUUGAUAGUAACUUGGAUCAACACGGUAAUGAUAUGAUCGGUUCUUUGGGUACUUACGAUGUGAUGAGUCUCCACAUAUGUUUCGUGGCAAUGCUCAUGGGUUUUGGGAAACUGCGUGGCUUGGUUGAGUUAUAGGGAUUGCUCUGAUAGCUUGGUUAUGUGCAAAUGGAUUCCAAUGGGUUCUCGAUGAUUUUUAUCACUGUUCGGGGUGAAUAUUUCUUACUGGUGUGAGGAACGUGUUGCGUAUUGGGAUUUCCUCCUGGAUGAGAUCAAAUAGAAAGUUUCUGACUGAUCGGGAUUGAGUGUUACAUGUGCAAGGUCACAGUUCAGUUUUGAAGGGAAGUUCAUGAAUUCCUAGAGAGCACGUAUGGAUUCAGAUGUCUAGAGGGAUGCAAUUACUACUUGGUAUUGCCUGAGAAGGGUGUACAUUUCAGAAGGCACAUUGUGUUUUGACUUACGGAUGCAUCAUUGAUAUUGCGGUGCUCGCCUGGUUAGUCGACUGCUGAGAUUCAGAUUUUGUUAUGUGGCACAGAAGAAUUUUAGAUGUAUUCCUCAUGGGAUGAUCGUGUUAGAGAGAUGUGUUAGACAUUUGGGCAGUGGAGUUGGGAUUAGAUAGAGUGACUCGUGUGUUCUAUGGAUUCAAGAUUGGAGUUCUCAGAAGCAGAUUGAUUCAUGGUUGUGGACUGUGAUAUAUGGCCAAAGUUAGCCAGAUGAUAGUGUGUGUUAUGGGUAUGUCGUUGUGGACCUAGAGUGCUAUUUGACCAUUCGGGGAUGACCAGAGUUGAUUUGGGGGCCCAUUGGUAGGCCUAAUGAGGAUGUGUAUUCUGUAUCAAAUCAAAUUUGCUUGCUCCCGCACAGCUGUUACCUCAGGUAUAUCAUCGGGAGGAGUAGAUGCUAUUCGCGCCUUGGUCUAUGUUAUGUGUUCCUCUCUUAUGCUAUGACGGAUUGUGAGGAUUACAUGGUUCUUCGCACGCAUAUUGUAAUUCAGUUUAGGCUUCAUGGCACUAUAGACGAGAUGGCCUUCGUGAUGUUGAUUUGCUUAUUGCACCACAACUGUGCUUAUCCUUCUCACUAUUGUUUGUUCCAAAUAAUUCUCCCACAGUUAUAUUUUGUGCACUCUAUUGUGCUUGAUACUGACACACAUAUGAUCGGUGAGCCCGAGUAUUAUGGCUCGAUGGGUACCCUAUGUGGAUUGAAAUGUUAUGGUCGGGUUGCACGCCGCAAUGGUACUGUGGUGAAAUGUAACUUCUGAUGCUUACUUUGUGUAGUUUUUCUUUCACCUUGUUGAAAAUAGUUCAUAAGAAAAUGCUAAAAUUUCCCUGCCUGCUUAAUUUGUUUAGUAGUCUUCUUAUUUAACUCUCUUACUGUUAUAUAUCAUGUCUGAAUUAUUACUUGUUGGUGUUCGGGACCGUAUUGUGUGGGGCUCCAUAUGAUCAUUGUUGAUACUUGAAGGUGGGGUCUGCUUGUAUUGGUUGAGAUGAGGUUUCUAAGCUUGAGAUUUGCACUAUCGUAUUGGGAUGAGGAAGGUUUGGGAGAAUAACACUAUAUUUUGCUGAGGAUGUGGGCAAUGGCCCUGGUCAGACGAGUGGUUAAGAGGUUACGCUUGUUUCUUUCAUCAUCGAUAGGGUAUGAAGGUUUUGAACGAGGCUCUAAUCGAUACGAGGUUUGCUACCGACACCGCAUUUGUUUUCGGGAAGCAAUGGUGGUCAGCAGUUACUGCUGUGAACGUCUGAGUGAUGGGGUGUAUCAUGUGAUUUCAUCUUGGGGCUAUGGUUAUGCCCUAAUACAGCUUGUUCAGGCUUAUACAUUGUGUAGAUGUGAGAUUCGGGUUUUAUAAUGAAUUCUGGAUGUUAGAGAUUGGGUUCUAAGGUUUAAGGACCAAGGUUGAAGUAAGGAUCUCUAAUUAUGUUGUGUUGGUAGGCUUAUAUGGAGCAGGGUGACGUGGGAUCACCCCCGAGUAUAUGCAUAGUAAGGUUAUACCGUGGUUUGAUAGCUUUGGGACGACCCCUGGCACGUUCGAGGACGAAUAUGUGUUUAAGUGGUGAAGGAUGUAAUGACCCGAGUGGUCGUUUUGAGUAUCUGCACUUUGCUCGGUAGUUUGAAGCCUCGAAAUGGGGUUCCGUCAGUCUCGUUAGCUCCGUUAAGUGAUUUUGUACUUAGAAGCGCGUCCGGGUUGUAAUUUGGAGGUCCGUAGUCGAAUUAGUCUUGAAAUGGCGAAAGUUGGAUUUUUGUGAAGUUUGACCGGUAGUGAACUUUUUGAUAUCGGGGUUGGAUUUCGAUUCAGGAAGUUGGAGUAGGUCCGUAAUGCCAAGUGCGACUUGUAUGCAAAAUUUGGCGCCAUUUGGAGUUAAUUUGAUAUGGUUCGAACGCUUGGUUGUGAUUCUAGAAGUUCUUGAAGUUUCCUUUGAUCUUCAUGCGUUUUGGCACCCGAUUCAUGAUUCUAGAGCUUAUCUUGAUGUUUUGAUCACUCGAGCGGGUUCGUGUUAUGUUUUUAGACUUGUGUGGGUGUUUGGUUUGAAGCCUCGUGGGCUCGGAUGAGUUUCGAUUUGGUUUCAGAAUGAUUUUCCAUAAUAUUUGAGUGCUGGUACUGGUGUCAUCGCAUUUGCGAUGUUUUUGUCGCAAAUGCUACAAUUGCAAUAGCGAAGCAGUAAUCGUAUUUGCGAAAGUUGGGCUGCUAGGGAAGAUUUGCAUUUGCGAAGAAACCCUACGCAUUUGCGAUGUGGGGUUAUUCGCAUUUGCGAUGGACCCUGCCGCUUUUGCAAAAUGUUGAUCUUCGCAUUUGCGAAGUAUAUGGCCACAAAUGCAACCUUGACAGGAAACCUUCUGGUUCGCAUUUGCGAUAAGUUGUUCGCAUUUGCGGGGGUCGCAUUUGUGGUGGUCGCAUUUGCGAACCCCCUGUCGCAAAUGCGAUAUCUACAGCCUGCUAAAUGCUGAGAAUUCUGAGUCUAGUAGAGUCUUGCUGAUCGGUAUGAUGACGUCUAUAACUAUCUUCGGGAGGCUUUAGGGCAUUUAGGAUAAACUUCAUGUCUUUCUUUCCUUAUCGUGCGGCAUUGAUUCUGCUUGGAGCAUAACUAUUUGAAUUCUUUCCACGCAUUCGUAUGCGCAUGCGAGCGCUCGGUAUCGGCGGAGCAUCGACAACUUGUGAGUCCAUGGAUGAGGUGUGAGAUGUGAUUCUUGUGUACUGAUGAUGGGUCAGUCUGGAGGACAUGAGGCCGGGUUUUGACUGCAGCUUGAGCACGAGGAUUUCAGUUGUGUGAGCAUGUGCUUUUGGACUUAUACGUCUGGUAGUGUCCCUAUAAGUGGAAUUUGUGGCAGGCGAGUGGUUGGAUGACUAAAUGACGAGUAGGAUGUGACUGCGGGCUAUGUUCAGAUGAUUUGAAGGUGACGAGAAGAGUCUACUUGAGGUGUAAAAAGGGCUAAUGGGUGCUUGAUUUCUGUCUUGGUGUGAGGUAUAGUCUCGAGUUAUAGGUGUAUUGAAAUGUUUUCAUGUUGUUUAAUUGUGGAACGAAUUUUAUUCUCAUGCCUCAUUGAUGAGUUCAUACUCAGGAAGAUUAAGCAGUGGCAUAGCAGUUGUGGCUAGAGUUUAAUAUUUACAUUGGAUGGUGUCGAGGCUCGCGGUAUUUCUAUAUCAUUGUGGAUUAUGCAUUUUAUUAACAGGAAGACAAAGUGGUGGAGGAAACAGACUUAGACUCACAGAAUGUCUCAUCAGAGUGGGUGCCUAGGUUGUGGUACUUUAGGGUGCUAAGAGGAAAUGCCGCAGCAUGUAGGCCUUAGGGCGGUGUGGUUUUUAUGCUAGAAUAUCUUAUGGUGAGCUUUGGGGUAAGGAUCAUGGUGUUCUCGCAAGAAGUGGUAUCAACUUGAGGGUAAAUUGAAAGGAACUCGGAGGAAAUAGGGCAAUUUGAUAGUAACUUGGAUCAACACGGUAAUGAUAUGAUCAGUUCUUUGGGUACUUACGAUAUGGUGAGUCUCCACAAAUGUUUCAUGGAAAUUCUCAUAGGUUUUGGGCAACUGCGUGGCUUGGUAGAGUUAAAGGGAUUCGGUUCUGAUAGCUUGGUUAUGUGCAAAUGGAUUCCAAGGGGUUCUCAAUGAUUUCUAUCACGGUUUGGGUGAAUAUUUCUUAUUGGUGUGAGGAAUGUGUUGUGUAUUGGGAUUUUCUCCUGGAUGAGAUCAAAUAGAAAGUUUCUGACUGAUUGGGAUUGAGUUUUGCAUGUGCAAGGUCACGGUUCAAUUUUGAAGGAAAGGUCAUGAAUUCCUAGACAACACGGGCAGAUUCAGAUGUCUAGAGGGAUGCUAUUACUACUUGGUAUUGCCUGAGAAUGGUGUACAUUUCAGACGGCACAUUAUGUUUUGACUUACGGAUGCAUCAUUGAUAUUGCGGUGCUCGCCUAUCUAGUCGACAACUGAGAUUCAUAUUUUGUUAUGUGGAACAGAAGAAUUUUAGAAGUAUUCCUCGUGGGAUGAUCGUGCUCGAGAGAUGUGUUAGACAUUUGGGUGGUGGAGUUGGGAUUAGAUAGGGUGACUCGUGUUUUCUAUCGAUUCAAGAUUGGGAGUUCUCAGAAAUAGAUUGAUUCGUGGUUGUGGACUGUGAUAUAUGGCCAAAGUUAGCCAGAUGAUAGUAUGUGUUAUGGGUAUGUCGUUGUGGACUUUUGGAGGGCUAUUUGUUCGUUUGGGGAUGACCGAAGUUGAUUUGGGGGCCCAUUGUAGGCCCAAUGAGGAUGUGUAUACUGUAUCGGAUCGUAUUUGCUUGCUCCUGCACAGCUGUUACCUCAGGUAUAUCGUCGGGCGGAGUAGAUGCUAUUCGUGCCUUGGUCUAUGUUAUGUGUUCCUAUAUUAUGCUAUGACGGAUUGUGAGGAUUACAUGGUUCUUCGCACGCACAUUGUAAUUCAGUUUAGGCUUUAUGGCUCUAUGGGCGAGAUGGCCUUCGUGAUGUUGAUUUGCUUAUUGCACCACAACUCUACUUAUCCUUCUCAGUAUUGUUUGUUCCAAAUAAUUCUCCCACAGUUAUAUUUUGUGCACUCUAUUGUACUUGAUACUGACGCACAUAUGAUCGGUGAGCCCGAGUAUUAUGGCUCGAUGGGUACCCUAUGUGGAUUGAAAUGAUGGGGUCGGUUUGCACGCUGCAACGGUACUGUGGUGAAAUGUAACUCCUGAUGCUUACUUUGUGUAGUUUUGCUUUCACCUUGUUAAAAAUAGUUCAUAGGAAAAUGAUAAAAUUUUCCUGCCUGCUUAACUUGUUUAGUAGUCUUCUUAUUUAACUCUCUUAUUGUUAUAUGUCAUGUCUGAAUUAUUACUUGUUGGUGUUCGGGACUGUGUUGUGUGGGGCUCCAUAUGAUCAUUGUUGAUACUUGUCGGUGGGGGCUGCUUGUGUUGGCUGAGAUGAGGUUUCUAGGCUUGAGAUUUGCACUAUCGUAUUAGGAUAAGGAAGGUUUGGGAGAAUAACACUAUAUUUUGCUGAGGAUUUGGGCAAUGGCCCUGGUCAAACGAGUGGGUUUCAUGGCUUAGUGAUCAGAUGAGUGGUUAAGAGGUUAUGCUUGUUUCUUUCAUCAUUGAUAGGGUAUGAAGGUUUUGAACGAGGCUCUAAUCGAUAUGAGGUUUGCUACUGGCACCACAUUUGUUUUUGGGCAGUAAUGGUGGUCAUCAGUUCCUGCUGUGAACGUCUGAGUGAUGGGGUGUAUCAUGUGAUUUCAUCUUGGGGCUAUGGUUAUGCCCUAAUACAGCUUGUUCAGGCUUAUACAUUGUGUAGAUGUGAGAUUCGGGUUUUAUAAUGAAUUCUGGAUGUUAGAGAUUGGGUUCUAAGGUUUAAGGACCAAGGUUGAAGUAAGGAUCUCUAAUUAUGUUGUGUUGGCAGGCUUAUAUGGAGCAGGGUGACGUGGGAUCACCCCCGGGGAUAUGAAUAGUAAGGUUACACCGUGGUUUGAUAGCUUUGGGACGACCCCUGGCACGUUCGAGGACGAAUGUGUGUUUGAGUGGUGGAGGAUGUAAUGACCCGAGUGGUCAUUUUGAGCAUCUGCACUUCGCUCGGUAGUUUGAGGCAUCGGAAU
Molecule: long non-coding RNA, 57060 nt
Filed under: Nicotiana tabacum (common tobacco)
Lineage: Eukaryota; Viridiplantae; Streptophyta; Magnoliopsida; Solanales; Solanaceae
Description: long non-coding RNA (NTAB_LNC006854)
Source: RNAcentral